RNAcentral lists this long non-coding RNA (54950 nucleotides) under Hordeum vulgare. RNAcentral's name for it is "long non-coding RNA (HVUL_LNC017157)". Lineage: Eukaryota; Viridiplantae; Streptophyta; Magnoliopsida; Poales; Poaceae. The record is from RNAcentral.
CUCGGCCUCGUCCCCGACGACGGCGGCGACGCGGGCGCGGCCGACGUCGGGCUCGAAGAUGGCGAGGUUGACGUACGAGUUGGAGUAUGCGGAGUGGUAGAGGCCGCAGCGCGCGACGGCGUCGGGGGAAGCCCAGAGGCNNNNNNNNNNNNNNNNNNNNNNNNNNNNNNNNNNNNNNNNNNNNNNNNNNNNNNNNNNNNNNNNNNNNNNNNNNCGGCGGUGAGGGCGGGCAGGGCCGGGUCGCCGCACUGGUCCUCCUCGCCCCGCAGGUACGGGCGCGCCGCCGCCAGCGCGUCGGCGUAGGUGGUGCGCGUCGCCAUGGAUCCCGUCGGUCGUCGCCGGCGGUGGGGAGAGAUCGGGGGCGGGGCAGGCGGAGGNNNNNNNNNNNNNNNNNNNNNNNNNNNNNNNNNNNNNNNNNNNNNNNNNNNNNNNNNNNNNNNNNNNNNNNNNNNNNNNNNNNNNNNNNNNNNNNNNNNNNNNNNNNNNNNNNNNNNNNNNNNNNNNNNNNNNNNNNNNNNNNNNNNNNNNNNNNNNNNNNNNNNNNNNNNNNNNNNNNNNNNNNNNNNNNNNNNNNNNNNNNNNNNNNNNNNNNNNNNNNNNNNNNNNNNNNNNNNNNGGAUUGACAUCCUUUGCCAUAGAGGAGAGGUUGCCAAAUGCCAACAAUAGAGAAACGUGUUGGACCAAAGUGAGGUAAAAUGUUUGUAUUGUUCCAACUAGUUUUUGUUUUUGGGUAUGCAUUUCAAUUCGGUAAUUCCGCGGUGGUUGGAUGAUUAUAUGAACAAUGAUAUUAUUAACCCAUCAAAGUUUAAGUCUUGGUCUUUGCAUUAUUUUUAAAUUUAUAUCAGAAUUUUUGACAAUGCGUGUUUAAUGAAAGGAGACGUUUUNNNNNNNNNNNNNNNNNNNNNNNNNNNNNNNNNNNNNNNNNNNNNNNNNNNNNNNNNNNNNNNNNNNNNNNNNNNNNNNNNNNNNNNNNNNNNNNNNNNNGAUGAGUGAUCUACGUACCCUUGUAGAUCGUACAGCAGAAGCGUUAGGGAACGCGGUUGAUGUAGUGGAACGUCCUCACGUCCCUCGAUCCGCCCCGCGAACAAUCCCGCGAUCAGUCUCACGAUCUAGUACCGAACGGACGGCACCUCCGCGUUCAGCACACGUACAGCUCGACGAUGAUCUCGGCCUUCUUGAUCCAGCAAGAGAGAUGGAGAGGUAGAAGAGUUCUCCGGCAGCAUGACGGCGCUCCGGAGGUUGGUGAUGAUCUUGUCUCAGCAGGGCUCCGCCCGAGCUCCGCAGAAACGCGAUCUAGAGGAAAAACUAUGGAGAUAUGUGGUCGGGCAGCCGUGAGAAAGUUGUCUCAAAUCUGCCCUAAAAGCCCCAUAUAUAUAGGAGGAGGGAGGGGGACCUUGCCUUGGGGUCCAAGGGACUCCCAAGGGGUCGGCCGAGCCAAGGGGGGGAGGACUCCCCCCCCAAACCGAGUUGGACUUGGUUUGGUGGGAGGAGUCCCCCUCACUUCCCACUUCUUCCCUCUUUUUUUUUCUUUUCCUUUGAUUUUCUUAUCUUGGCGCAUAGGCUCCCUUGGGGCUGUCCCACCAGCCCACUAAGGGCUGGUGUGUCCCCCAAAAGCCUAUGGGCUUCCCCGGAGUGGGUUGCCCCCCUCCGGUGAACUCCCGGAACCCAUUCGUCAUUCCCGGUACAUUCCCGGUAACUCCGAAAACCUUCCGGUAAUCAAAUGAGGUCAUCCUAUAUAUCAAUCUUCGUUUCCGGACCAUUCCGGAAACCCUCGUGACGUCCGUGAUCUCAUCCGGGACUCCGAACAACAUUCGGUAACCAACCAUAUAACUCAAAUACGCAUAAAACAACGUCGAACCUUAAGUGUGCAGACCCUGCGGGUUCGAGAACUAUGUAGACAUGACCCGAGAGACUCCUCGGUCAAUAUCCAAUAGCGGGACCUGGAUGCCCAUAUUGGAUCCUACAUAUUCUACGAAGAUCUCAUCGUUUGAACCUCAGUGCCAAGGAUUCGUAUAAUCCCGUAUGUCAUUCCCUUUGUCCUUCGGUAUGUUACUUGCCCGAGAUUCGAUCGUCAGUAUCCGCAUACCUAUUUCAAUCUCGUUUACCGGCAAGUCUCUUUACUCGUUCCGUAAUACAAGAUCCCGCAACUUACACUAAGUUACAUUGCUUGCAAGGCUUGUGUGUGAUGUUGUAUUACCGAGUGGGCCCCGAGAUACCUCUCCGUCACACGGAGUGACAAAUCCCAGUCUUGAUCCAUACUAACUCAAACAACACCUUCGGAGAUACCUGUAGAGCAUCUUUAUAGUCACCUAGUUACGUUGCGACGUUUGAUACACACAAAGCAUUCCUCCGGUGUCAGUGAGUUAUAUGAUCUCAUGGUCAUAGAAAUAAAUACUUGACACGCAGAAAACAGUAGCAACAAAAUGACACGAUCAACAUGCUACGUCUAUUAGUUUGGGUCUAGUCCAUCACGUGAUUCUCCCAAUGACGUGAUCCAGUUAUCAAGCAACAACACCUUGUUCAUAAUCAUAAGACACUGACUAUCAUCGAUCAACUGGCUAGCCAACUAGAGGCAUGCUAGGGACGGUGUUUUGUCUAUGUAUCCACACAUGUAAAUGAGUCUUCAUUCAAUAUAAUUAUAGCAUGGAUAAUAAACUAUUAUCUUGAUACAGGAAUUAUAAUAAUAACUAUACAUUUAUUAUUGCCUCUAGGGCAUAAUUCNNNNNNNNNNNNNNNNNNNNNNNNNNNNNNNNNNNNNNNNNNNNNNNNNNNNNNNNNNNNNNNNNNNNNNNNNNNNNNNNNNNNNNNNNNNNNNNNNNNNCCUCUCGUAGAUGGACAUCACCAUGAUAGGUCUUCGUGCGCGUAGGAAAAUUUUUGUUUCCCAUGCGACGUUCCCCAACAAUGGACUCGUUUAAUUUUCUUUUCAAGUUGAUUCUCAACUUCUUCCUUAUAGAUUUUAAAGUAGUGUAGAGCCUCAUCUUUAGUAUUUAACAGAUACACAUUGCAAAAUCUAGUGGAAUCAUCUAUCAAUGUCAUGAAGUAUUUCUCUCCACCUUUAGUCAACACACCAUUCAUCUCACAAAGAUCAGAAUGUAUGAGUUCUAAUGGUGCCAAGUGUCUCUCCUCUUCAGCCUUGUGAGGCUUGCAAGGUUGCUUUGCUUGCACACACGAAUGGCACUUAGAACAGAAGCACUCGUGCCAUUCCCCAUCAAUACGGACUCGCGACCGGUGGCCUGAUAAGAAGAGAACAAUGAUAAGUCAGCACACACAUGAAUAUUUGCACCCGUGUCCACCCACCAAUCGGUGGACUGACAAACUGUAAAUACAGUAAGUAAAUUACCGUACCCAGAUGCACCACUUUCAUUGUUGCCCACAAUCAUAUUGGCAGACUUGGAGUCCUUUGUCGGCUUCUUGUACUUGUUUGGGCAUUUGUUCGCCCAAUGUUCCUCUGAACCACAAGUAUAGCAGCCAUCUCCCUUCUUAUUCUUCUUGAAGGGCUUCUUUCCCUUCUUCUUGAAGUCGGUAUUCUGUUGGACAGAAUUCUUUCCCUUGGGCUUGUGAGAAUUGAAGUUCCUCUGAUGUACCAUAUUGGCAGCAGAAGAGCUUUCCACCGCUUUUCCAUUGGAGUCCUUUGCUCUCGAGUUCUGCUCAACACUCAGAUGGCCGAUGAUGUCCUCUACUGAGAACUCACGCCUCUGAUGUUUCAGAGUAGUAGCAAAGUUCCUCCAGGAAUUAGGGAGCUUAGCAAUUAUACAGCCCGCGACAAACUUGCCCGGCAAAUUGCACUUAAGAACCUCAAGUUCCUUAGCUAUGCAUAUUAUCUCAUGAGCUUGUUCCAAUACAGAACGGUUGUCAACCAUCUUGUAAUCGUGGAACUGCUCCAUAACAUACAUCUCACUCCCAGCAUCGGUGGCCCCGAAUUUAGAUUCGAGCCCUCCCACAAGUCCUUGGCAACAUGCAUAUGUAAAUAUGCAUCAACCAGCUUAUCUCCGAUCACGCUAAUGACUGCUCCAAGGAAUAGGACGGUGGCCUCCUUAAACAUCUUCUCCUGUUCAGGAGUGAUAGUUUCCGUAGGAGUGACACCGGCUAUCCAGAACACGUUCAUAGCUGUGAGCCAUAAGGUGGUUAUCGUUUGCCAACACUUGAAAAAAAGUACCGGUAAACUUAUCCGGUUUCAGUGCAGCAGCAAAACCAUUACUCGAAAAAUUCCUACAGACAUUAGGUUUUUGGAUUGUUAAGGAAAUAGGCAAUUUUCCGAGUAGAUUAAUCCACGAAAUAAUUACUAACAUGGCAUUGACUAGGUUCAUGACAUACUGAUCACGGAGUAUACUAGCAAGUACUACGCAUAUAGCAGAAACAUCUACGCAUAUAGGCAAUACUACUAGUGCAGACAGAAACAGGAGAGAGACAAACACAUCAUACCCUCCGAUCGACCAGUUGGCCGUAGCAGCAGCGGCGGCGACGGAAGUAUCCUCUGCCGCCUUCUUCUCGGCUUCGGCCUUCUCGCGGACGAGACGGUCAGCUUCGCUUGGUGAAGACAUGGCGAUGACGAGGGCGACGCGGACGUAGACGAAGCAGACGGACGGAGGCGAGCAGUCGCGUGAUCGCUCCCCAAAAACCUAAUCGCCCCUCUCCCGUACACGAACCGGAGAGGCGAGGUUUCGGAGGCCUGCUCUCCCGUCGACCGUGUACGCGGUAAACGGGAUGGAGUCGUCGGCGGCAGCAGGAGUCAAGGAACGAACGCGUGAGGCAGAUGUGAUCUGAUUCUCGUGACGGCUAGGGUAGGCGAUGGCCUGCUUAUAAAGGCGGCUGGGUGGAGAGACGUGGGCCAAACCCACGUCCAAGUCGGUAACAGCCACGCCGUUACGUAUUCUACGUUCCUGACCGGCAAAAAUAAGCACGUAGAUAUGAGCUCGGCUCGGCUCAUUCCCGCAACCCGAGGCGAGGCGAGGCGAGCGGCGGAGGAGGAGUGCGCGAGGGCACCUUCUCUUCUCACUCUUCAAUAGCAUGUGGAAGAGAGACCCUUAUAAAAGGGUCCAACUCCUCCUCCACUAGCGGGGUGGGACUAAACUUUCCACCACCUUGUCAUGCCACCACCUACAUGGGCCAUUGGAGAUUUUUCUAAAAUUUGUUUUAUGGGCCUAAGGCCCAUCUCUAAUUUCAACACCCAACUCUCAAGCUCCCGAAACCUUGGGUAUUUGUGGCCGGUAUGAAUACCAAGGACACUAUGUUCGCCCAGUUUCCAGACAAUGUCCAUCAUGCUAAGCUCGCUCCAAGCUCAGGCCCCAUUGCACAGGUGAAGAUUACUGGUGUGGCUGCAACAGCUAAACAGGUGCAAGACCAGGUAGCACGUAUGUGUCCGGUCCCGUCUUAGGUCUAGGAGGCUGUCCCUAAAGGGGAGAAUGCUUUCACGAUCACUUUUCCUACAAUGAAGGCGCUAUCGAGAUUUGAUGGCAUUGAUUGGGGCAUCCCGGCACAGGACACAAGACUUGCUUUUAGUCAGUGGAAGCUAGAGGAGAUCACACCUAAGAUGGAGCUAUAUCAAACUUGGGUACACGUCACGGGGGUUCCACACGCUAUGAGACACUUUCUGGGCAUUUGGGCUAUAGGGUCUCUGAUCGGAUCGACGAUUGAUGUAGACCUUUUAGCCCUCCGGCAUAGAGGUGUGGUACCUAUCGUAGUUGGGAUGGCAGCUGAAGAUUGCUUCAAUAAGUUCAAUGAGGCAGGUCCGUACAUUUGAACGGACUGUAUUUGGAAGCUGAAAGGUUAUGCAUUUACUUUCCGUCCGGAGCCAGAAAAUUUUGUGCAGGAGUCCGAUUUCAUACCUAAGGUUUGGGAAUUCAUAGCCAAAGACGGAGUUGCGGACAGUUAUAUGCAAGAUAAUUCCAGGGAACGGCCCGGAUCCGAUGGUGCUACACCUCAAGAUGAUGGUAGGGUGUAACCCUUUGUAAGUCUUUAUAUGUAGUUUAGCAUUUUUGUAUGGAAAACGAUCUGUUUCAACCGGCUGAUUUUUCACUCCACCAACCGCCACGCUAGUUUGACACGUGUCUCCUGUGCAGCCUACCCACCACUUUCUCACCUCAUAACGUUAUCUUCACGCAAGACCUCAUCCACGGCCUCCUUCUUCCUGUGCAAAUCGUCAAAUCCUCUUGCCUGUUGUUCCUCACCGAACAAUGCUCCAGCCAUUGCUGCUACCUUCCCCAAUGACCGUGUUGCAAGCUCCGUUGGGUCGCCGCGCUUGGCCAUGACAAAAAUCUUGCGAUCGUGAACCUCUUCUCCGGCGUCGCGCGAGGUGCCUCUCCACGCAAAGGAGAUGACCACAUUCUACGCGUACAGGAAGGUUAUAUUCUCCGAAUCCCCCACCAUCCGAAGCAGUGUCGCCCUGUGCAGGAUUGCUUGUCCGGCCAAAAGAUGGACUGCCAAAAUAUUUAAUGGGCCACAGCUUAUGGACAUUGCAUUCUACAAUGGAAAACCAUAUGCCCUAACGGACGUGGAUGACCUGAUCAAAUUCAAAAUAGGUACAAACAAAGACGGUCGGCCGGUGGUAACUGUGGAGCUGCAUAUGCAAAUUGGUAGCCGACCUUUCAGGUGGGGAACUAACAUUGUUGAGCUGCAUGGCAAACUGGCUAUGGUGGUGAAACGACGUUUUGUAGGCAACACCUACCGCAAGCGCUUCUUCUUCCAUGUUUCUGUGCUUGUUGACAAGUCGACGAAAGAGAACACUCUCAAGUGGGAGUGGGAGGAGGUAACAACCUUGGGAGAUUGCGCCUUGUUUUUUGGGAGAAUGUCGAACAAGGCGUUGUGUGUGCCGGCGGCUGGGUGCGGCCGGGUGCAGACAAGUGCCAUCUACGCCGACGAUGUCACCUACUUGACGAGUUUGGACGGCCAUGGUGAUUGUGUAUAUCCUAUGCGAGACCAAAGCAGUGACAAGGCCACACACGGGAUCAAAUCAGUAGGACCUUAUACAUGUGGCAUGUGGGUUCUCCCUCCUGAUUUCUAGCUCACCAAGAGUGGUCUAGGGUAUCAUUUUUUUAUUUAUUCCUUAUUCACAAGGUAUUAAUUAAGGUAAGUUCAUACCAUAAAGAGUGUACAGAUAGAUGCAGUGUACAAUUUGACGUUUUAUCUUGAGGUAUAUAUAUAAAACACAGGCCAACUAUUUGCAAGGAUCGGUUUUGUUAAAACACAUUUAGAUGUGAAUAAGUAUUGCAUAUCUAAGUCCUAUGUCAUUGAACUUACGUAAAGAUUUGUAUCGAUAUUUUUUUUUGUUUUCUUUUUAGACUUGAUUUAGUCAUUUAGAUAGAUGUGCAAUAAUUAUGUCACAUCUUGAUGUAUCCUCGACAUACCCUUGCAGGAUAUUGUGUCCCUGAUAUGUUAAAAAUAUUCAAUUAUCCGUUCUGGGUUUGCUCCUGCUGCUUAAUUAAUGGCUCUAGCAUGUGCUUUGACAAUGUGUUCCGCUUGUCUAUCCAGAAUUCUUGUCCACCACCAGUCCUCCGGUGUAAAUAUGUAUCUUAGUUUUACGGUAAACUGAGACCCACGCCAAUGAUUUUAGAAUUGUUAUUUAUUUAUUUUUGAGACAUUCUCGUGAUGCUUUAUUAAAAUGUCAUAAUGUGUACAGGAACGAAAGGUAGUCCGCUAGGUUGCCUAACCAGACAUAGCAGCCGAGCCCUAGCUGUAAAGCGUUCUUUGCUAGAUUGUGAGCUUCGAAUUUUGAGCUUCUAAAUUCGUGAAAGAAAUUACAAGUAGUGAAACUGUAAGAAUGAUCUAUGAUUUCAUGUAAUAUGGCUCCAUAGCUGGGUGUCCUGUCCUUCUUGAUGUCUUUUUUUUUGCGAUAGUCCUUCUUAAUGUCUUCAAUAACAACUUUGCAGUCAGAUGCCACAUGAAUGGAUUGCACAUUUAAAUCUUCCGCCAACGCCAUAUCUUCUCUGACCUCCAUAGCCUCCAUAGUAGUUGGGUCCUGUAUACCUCGUACAACCAAGGCCGACGCCCCAAGAAACAUACCAUUCUUGUCUCUGCAAACCGCUGCAACCCAGCCAACUCUUGCUGAUCUCAAUAAUGUUGCAUCAGCACUCAUCUUUGCGCAGUCAUCCACAGGUGGGAGCCAACGCGUAGGCCUUUCCCCCCUAACGUGAUCUGCUGACCUCCUCGGUUUCAGGGUAUCUAACUGGCAUAGUUGAGCUUGGAUGAACAUAUGAGUCGUCAUGGGACUCUGAAAAAUAUCCUUGUGUAUUGCCUUUUGUCGUGCAAACCAAAUCGCCCAAAGGGUAAUAGCCAUCCUAAUGAAUGAUUCCCUCGACAGUGCUUCCAUCAUGGUGAAAAUCCAAUCCCGUGCAUUGUCAUCGUCGUGUUGGGUCAUGUGAUCAACCAGAUCGGCAUCUGAGAGAGCCCAUGUGCUUCUGGCCAUAGAGCAGUUGACAAGCGCAUGUCUCCACGAGUCACGAGCACCACAUAACCUGCGCACCGGCGACGUGUUGACAUGUUUCUGUGCUGAAACAGUUCCACCGUGGGGAGAGAGCUCCUGGCCAGUCGCGACAUAAAAACUUUUACCUUCGAUGGGACGUCUGUUUUCCAUAGUGCCAUCCAUGUCUUGCUACCCUGAUCGGUCCCUGAGGGCUCCUCGUUCCCUUUGAGCCAGUUCUCUCUGGUUAUCUUUGUUUGCAUGAUCAACCGAUAAGCAGAUUUGACAGAGAAAGUUCCAUGCUUUUCGCUGCUCCAAGCCCAGAAAUCACUCACAUUCCUCGUGCAUAAUGGUAUAGAUGAGAUAUGUUCAGCAUCAAUGGGUAGGAAAACCGAGCGCACCAGCUGCUCAUUCCAUGUUGCCGUUGCCGAGAUGAUCAAUUCUGACAACAGCCCCGGUCUGGGCAGCCAGUUGUGAUUCCAGAUGCUAGUAGUGCCACCGUUCCGAUUCGCCGAGUGGCCCCCUAUCGAAGCAUGUCCCGGCCAUCAAGCACUACCCUCCAUACUUGCGACGGUCGCCCUCCGAGUUCUACUUCAAGAAGUGUUGAGUCGGGGAAAUAUGAUGCUUUGAGAAUACUAGCACUGAGAGAGUCCUGCCGGGUUGGUCAACACCCUCCACGCCUGACGCGCCAGCAAUGCAAUAUUGAAGACCUCCAUAUCACGGAACCCGAGCCCUCCUAGGUUCUUCGGCCUUGUCAUGAUGUCCCAUGCUAUCCAACAAUGUUUUGACUUUCUUGCUACCCCACCAAAACUGACGGAUAAUCGAUGUGAUGUUUUUGCGGAGUCCUCUUUGUAGGCCCUGUUUGGAUACUCUAACCGGGUUAGAGGUUAGAGUUAGAUUCUAACCCUCAACUAACCCUAAACUAACUCUAACCCAAAANNNNNNNNNNNNNNNNNNNNNNNNNNNNNNNNNNNNNNNNNNNNNNNNNNNNNNNNNNNNNNNNNNNNNNNNNNNNNNNNNNNNNNNNNNNNNNNNNNNNNNNNNNNNNNNNNNNNNNNNNUUUUCUUUUUUUUUUUGACCCCACCUAACUCUAACCCAGAAAAGCACCUCUUGGAUUGGUUAGAGUUUUUGGGUGGGUUAGAUGCAUCUAACCUAAUCUAACCCUAUCUGUUUGGAUUUUUGAGGGUUAGAUAGCUCAACUCUAACCCAAUCUAACUCUAACUCUGGUAUCCAAACAGGGCCGUAGCCUGAAGCAUGCCAUGGAGUACACUGGUAAGGCCUGCGCAACCGCUAAUCAAUACUUCCUUACCUGCAGUAGUGAAUAAGAGCUUCUCCAUCCAUGCCGUCACCUUCUCCCAUACUCAAUCUCUCAGGUAUUUGAAAGUGUCCGAUUUGGAAUGCCCCACAUCCGUUGGCUUGUUCACAAAUUAACACGAGUUCAGGCAUCAUUAAUUUGAUUUGUGCACAAAUUAACCACCCACCAGUAGAUGGGAAAGUACGUAUGUAGACAUGUGAUUAAUUAGUUCCACUGUCGAGUUAAUCAUCAGGGACAUGCACGCACGCUCUGUCGAACCGAAAUGCAACAGGGCCGUUGUUGGAGAGGGCUUCGAACCUGAGCACAACAAAAGUCUUGUUGCAAAGGGAUGCGCAUAUACCUGCCAUCUCUUGCCCGGCACGAAAAUCUAGGGACUAGACCCGCGGGGCUUGCCCAUGGGCCGGGUUUGGGCAUGAGUUUUGAGCCCGCUAGUAGGGUCAGUCUGGGCUUGGGCUUGGUAUAUUAAGAUUUUAAGGAAGAGGACUGAUCCGUGGCCCAAGGUCCGAUGGGCUUUUUAACAUAUAGGUUUGAUUUGGGCUUGAAAAGUAGGCCCGAUAAUAGGGCGGGCCGGGCCUCGGUUUUCUGCUAUGGGCCUUUUUAGGCCUGGCUCAGGCCCGGCCCAUGGCGAGGUAUAGAUGAGCGGAAUAGGAGAUCGGAUGACUUUUAUGCUCUCCAUCCAGUGGUUGUUGAGGCAGUCGAUGUGAUCAUCAUUGAUCCGACGCAUAUCGUUCAUAAAAAACAAGAGCACCGAAAAUGGCACACACAGACUAGACCACGUCAUGCAAUGCAAACCCAGCUCGUACACAAGCAAUGCAAUUACACCUAUGGAAACAAAAUAGGGCAGUGCUUUGCGCCGGCGCGCCGGCCGAAUCGUUCGGCCGCCGCGCGUGGACCGCCCGAUCCGUCAGCUCUACGCGGGUCACGCCAUUAGAUCUUCAUGCAAUAUUUUUUUUCUUGAUGUAACAAAUUUUGUCUAUGAUGCAACAAUUUUCGUUAACGGUUGCAAAAAAAUAUAGUUGUAGCAAAAAAAAUAUCUACCUGAUCGUAGCAAAAAAACGAAGCUAAUGAUGCGUGGUAGCAAAACAAAAAAAGGGUUGUAGCAAAACAAUCCGAAGAACUCGGGUUGCAACUCUGACGAACGUGUAUGCAACAUUUUUAGUGAACGGUUGCAAACAAAAAUUAACACGGUUGUAGCAAAAGUAAAAAACACCGGUUGUAAGGAAAAAUUCGACGAACUGGAGUUGUAACCAAAGUAUAUGCAACUCUUUUACUCGACAAAUGUAACAAAUAAAAAACGCUUGUAGCAAAUAUGAACACUGAUUGCAACAAAUUUAGACGAGAAAAAGUUACAUGCUUAAUCAGCUGUGUGCGCGGGUCGCGCGGCCGGCCUAACGGUUCGGCCGACCCACUGGCACAAACGUUUACUAACAAAAUAACCCGACCAUAAUAGCAAUCUACUUUAUCAUCUAUAAGGCAAGAUGGUGUUUUUUUAAGAAAACUUUCAAUCUAUUCAUUACCUAUCAAGAUAUUACCUAUCAAGAUAGUGCAAAGAACACCAAAGAAAAAAGAUUACAUCCAGAUUGGGCUGUAAGUGGAAGUCAUGGACACCCCACGACGAGGGACGGCUCUGAGCAUGUGCGGCAUGUGCGGCCGCACAAGGCCCCUCGUUGCUUAGGGCGCCAUCUAGAUGAGUAUACGUAUAUUAAUUAGCCUAAAAAAUAAUUUAAUCAAAUAAAUUAUUUCAAAUAAUAGUAGCAUGAGCCUUUGAAGUAAACGAUACUUACAGAUCAUUAAAAGGAAUCAACCUUAUGAACUUGUAUAUAUUUAUUUGUACAUAUGAGAGCCAAUUUUAUCUUUUAAACCGAGGCCCUAAAAUAUCAGGACCGGUCCUGCCCACGACGGGCUUGCGCGGCUUUCAUUAUGCCCUAGGAUACCCCGUGUGCAUGGGACCAUUGUUACCAUGUCCGCCCAAAUCCCCUUGUCCAGACGUCAGCUUAAUUCCUACCCGACAUGUUGAAACACACAGUGAACAAACAUGUUUUAUACACUACAGGACAUCAUACGUAUAUAAUAUGAGACGUAUACAAUGUAAGAUACGUCGGCGGCCUAUAGUGUACUCCAUCCGUUCCAAAAUAUAAGACAUUUUAGGGAUUUCACUAGGAGACUACAUACGGAACAAAAUAAGUGAAUCUAUACUCUAAAAUAUGUCUAUGUACAUCCGAAUGUAGUUUAUACUACAAUCUCUAAAAGGUCUUAUAUUUAGGAACGGAGGGAGUACAAUACAAGGUGGAUAUACAUUUUUUUUCUUUUAUACGAUUUUAUGAAGGGGGUGUCUACCGAAGCAAAAGUGUAGAAAAAAGAGUAGCUCAAAGGUCGUCGCAAGUUGAGGUCAAUGAUGGAGCUUGUUAACUUAGGUCUACAUAUAUUUUCCAUUCCAGAGAUCGAGAGAACAAAAAAACAAGAGAGAGUGCACAUACUAGACACGAGACGGACGUACGUAUGCGAGCGCGCGGAUUUCUUGAUCUGCUUAGAGACACGCCAACACCUCGAAGUCUCGUACGGUUUCAGAUCGAAUUCCUCUGCAAACAACAUCAAUCACGUUAACCUACGGAGUACUAUAUAUAGGUAACCAACAAAGGUGGCCGAACUACGCCUGCUCCUCUCGAUCGGUAACCCUUUUUCCUCCGGCGGUCAUGGCUUAUCCGUGCGAGCAAGAGGACGUGAUUCCAAUGCCAUGCGCAGGUGGUGCAGCGAUCCCUCACGAUAUCCUGCUGGAUAUCUUCAUGCGCUUGCCGGCGAGGUCCAUCGGCAGGUGCCGCUGCCUCUCACGCGCCUGGGCCGCCGCGCUCGCCCCCUCGGACGACUUCACCGAUCGCCACUUUCGCGCCGCCAACCGCCGCCCUAGCCUCUUCGUCCUCCCGGUCCCCUCCGCGGGCGUCACCGAAGUGCACGCCUGGUCGCCCGACCAGCCCCGCGGCACAACUCUCAUGGCCUUCCCGCGCCGCCCCAUGCGCAACACCGGCACCCGUCCCUGCCGGGGCCUUGUGGUCAUGGAGGAGGAAGAUCCGCCCGCCAGGGCCGGCGACGGCGCCGUCUACUACGUCUGCAACCCGUCCACCGGCCAGAUGACGGCGCUCCCGGAGGGCCCGCCGUUGCCGCCGCAGCCCAGCGGGUACAACCUCGGGAUCGGCUACGACGAGGUGAGCGGCCGGUUCAAGGUGGUCCGCGUCUUCCACGACAACGAGUAUCUCUAUGCGGAUUGCGACGUCUACGUGGUCGACGAUGCCUUCUGCUGGCGACCGGCGGCCGGAGACGCCGAGCUGCCGGAGGAGGCUGGGUACAUAAGUUCGUACGAGGCGAGCGUGUGCGCGCAGGGUCACCUUUAUUGGAUGUCUGAGGCGGAGGGGCCGUUCAAGGAGAAGCAUGUCAUCUCCUUCUCCCUCUCCGAUGAGAAAUUUGCGGUGAUCAACGCGCCCCACUAUAGAGAUUACAGCCUCACGGAGCUCGAGGGACGUGCAUGCCUCUUCUCCUCCGUCUACCAGAUGUGCUACAACAUCUGGCUACUACGCGACGACGACGCAUGGGACCUGCGCUUCCGCAUCGACCUGGCCACGGCGGCGCCAGAGGUGAGGCGGUUCAUGGCGUGCCAUGUCAGGCCGCUCGCAUUCAUCGAUGGUGGUCACCGCAUAAUAUUCAGGCCGAGUAUCCAGUCCGCAAACGACUCCAAGCCCGUCCACCAGCUCUGCGCUUACAACCCUACCACCGGCGCCAUUGAAGAGCUCCUCGCCGACGGGUGCCUGAUCGCCCAGCCAAGCGAGAACGGGCAUGCAACCACGAAAGCCCUGGUGUACGAGGAGAGCCUGGUCUCCACGGGGCGGCCACACGAGGAUAUCCUCUUCUCGUCGGCAUCAACGCGCGCCCUGUGCUUAGCCUUACAACGUCUGCCCGCGGCCAUCCUUGCGAAGCUCAAGCUCGUCUGUCGGACAUGGCGCGCCAUGAUCGAGUCUAACCGCUUCGUCAAGCUGCACAACCACUAUGCCAGGACGAGAAGGAGCUCUCCCCUACGCGUCUUCUUCCCAGACGCUACAACAGAGGACAGGAGGAUGGAGUCUUUGUGGCACGCGUCGCUCAAGCUGCUAGAGCGCAGGGUAGUGAGCUGCAAGCCCUGUCAUGGCCUACUCCUCGCCACAUCGUCCGAAAACAACAAAGAUGUUCUUCGCGUGCUUAGCCCAGUGAUUGACGAAGAGAUAACCUUGCACUUCCCUUCCGGCAGUACGACCGGCAUGGGGUACGACGAGGUGACGGAGGAGCAUGUUCUGGUCACUCUGGCCAAUGCUGGUCAUGGAUCUAGCGCGGCAAUGGAAUGCCACCUCUGGCGGCUCAAGGAAGACAUGAGUAGAAUAGUGCGAUCACCAUUUCCGAUCCAUGUGCGGCUCGACUUGCCGCCGAUCUACGUCGACGGCAAGAUGUACUGGAUGGGCGAUCCGCCACCUGAUCAAGACAGCCAGAGCAGUCACAGUUGCCACGGCAUGAUCAUGGCCCUCGACAUCCACACCGAGUCUUUCGAGGUGUUGCCGGUGCCACACGCCGACGACGGCUGCAGGAUGCUCGUGGUGGAGCUUGCCGGGCGGCUCUGCGUGGCCCACCCGUGUGCUCACACGGAGACCAUGACCAUAUGGAGCAAGAACAACAAGCCGGAGCUGGUUGACAACAAAUGCAAUGACGAGGGAUGCGAGCAAGAAUGGACGAGGGAGCAUGUGAUAGAGCUCUGGCGUUGGCCGGGGUUUUCCCCGAAGACAGCGGCAGGACUGAUUGUUCCAGUAGAGGUCGACGCCAUGGGGGGUGGGCAGAUCUUGCUGGACACAGGGAGCGAGGUGGGGCUGUAUGAUCCGAGCGAGCAAACCAUGCACACGGUGUACUCACUCAACUGGCCGCACGGUGAGCAUACCGACAAGUUCGUCGCGACGGCGCUGUGGGAGGACAGCAUGGUGCCUCCUCCACCUAUGCGAUGCGAACCUGAGCGGUGGUACAGAGAUGUAUAGAUUGUAAGGAAGCUAGCAAAGGGCCUUGGUUAGUUGGGAGCAUUUAGUAUUUCUUCUGAAUUUUGAAAACAAAUGUGAAGUUUUGAUCCUUUCUUGUAUUUUGAUAUAGUUUGUGGACCGUCCUUAAUGAUUUUGAUGCGCAUUUAUCUUGUCUCUGAUGUAUUAUUGAAGUGUCUUGCCCCUUUUUUUGGCGGGCAUUACUUGCAAAGUUAAGCUUUGAGAGUAAGGCAUAUAAUAGUGAUGUUGUACAACACCAAAGCAGUCUAGGUUGAAAGAGGUAUCAUGAUAUAUACAAGACGGGUUGCAAUUUCCAACUAAACUCUGGAGAUAAGUUGGCACAAACACCUGAAUUUUUUCUGAGGACUUGGGAGCCUCUCGAUCCACUUUUUCCGGCGUCCAUUCCCGUGCGCCCAUCAAGGACAUCCAUAGCUGAAGAUGCCUAUGUCGAAUAGGGUGAUGGAAUGAGCUUAAGAUAAUGUUACCCCUCAUGAUGGGUAAAAAACAUCCAUAGCCAUCUUCUCCAAUCAUCGUACGCACCAUCUUGAACAGCGGUUGACAUAGCGUUUGAUGUAGAAUAAACCACAUAUGAAGCAAGUGGGUACAACGGAGAAUAACCUAUAAAGGAGAUAUUUUUUGAUAUUAAAGACUAGAUCAUUUCGACAUAGCCAGAGCGACCAUAAAAUGGCAUACACUCCCACCCUUAUUGGUGUUUUAAACCUAUUUGGAACACCAUCGAUCCAGUGACUAAACAUAUUGGCAACUCUUGUUGGCAGAGACAAAUUAGAUGCUAUUUGGAUGACUGACUAUAUAGAACUGCAAACUAACACUGAAAAAAGAGGUGUUUGAAAGUGUCAACAUGAGUACAAAAGCUACUCUUAUUGUUUCCUUGCCAGUUGCAACGGACAAGAUUGUUUUUGGUUAGCGCAAAUUUCCUGUGAAGAUACUACAUGAAUAUUUUAACUUUCCACAGAAUCUUCGACUCCCAAAUUUCUUGUUGUUAGUCACUGAAACCUCACAAUGCGUGAGUGCAUUGCAGGGCGAGUUAACGGAGAAAGGCCUGGAUGUCAUGAGAAACACAUCUCAUUCUUGUAUCAGUUAAUCAACUCUGAUCGGGAUAGAAGAUUUUACCAUGACUUGGGAACGGGGCCAAUCAAAUCCCGCUUGAAUGAAUAUCCAGCCAGUGGGAAUGAACUGAGCACCUGCGUUUUAUUGCGAACAUUGCGAUACAAAGCUAGAUAUUAUUCCCGGAGGGUGGCACUGUCUAGCCAUUUAAAACAUGUGAUUAAUAAAGUUAUUAAAUAUCUAUACUUACUUUAAAUCAUAUAAAUUUUACAUGUUAGGACAUCUAAAUAGAUAUAUUUAAAUGCCCAAUUUUAAAUAUUAAAGAAACAUAUUAACUACAUGUAAGUAACCUUAUUUUCAGUUUCAAUAUAGUUCUGAAACUCAAGAUAUUUAAGACGCGAAGAAGGAUCAGUAUACUUGCAUUAUAAUUCUACAAAAAAUUGAAACAUGGAUCGCUAUAUUUUGAGUUAAAGUAAGUGAGAUAUAAUUUCAGUUUUGCUAAAGCACAUCUAUAUAUGCUCUAAGUAUUGUACAUCUAAGUUAUAUGUCAUUGAUUUUACGCUAAGAUUCGUACAAUCGUUUUCUUUUAUCUUAACUUUUUUUCUUCUUAGUUUGAUUGAGUCACUUAGAUGUGCAAUAAAUUGAGCACACCUAGAUGUGCCCUAGACAAAAACAUAUAAUUUUGUAGGAUUUAUGUGAAUUCGUGUCAUUAUGUUCUAAUAUUUCUUGUGGCAUGAUAUCUACUAUUUUCUUAUUUUCUUUUUUGAAGGAACAGUGGAGGACAAUAUAUUUUCUGUUUUUAGUAUGUCGCAGACUCGCAGUAGAGUUGCAUAUAAUUACAAGGGGAAUACAAAUGAUUCUUUUGUCUUUGUGGGGAACAAAGAAACAUCGACUUGUGUGUAAUUUGUCCUGCUAGUGCUUGUGUCGGAAACUUUUUCAUUAUUCGCCGAGUUAGUUUCCUGGUUGGUUGCUUUUGGUGUGUGCUGGUAUGUUACUUCCGCUGUAAAACCUGUUGGGUUCGUUGCUUCAAUAAAAUGGAGCAGGGGGGAAACCCCUUUUAUUCAAAAAAAAAAAAAAGAAACAUCGACUUGGCCUUAGCGACCACGCGAUCCCAUCUGCAUGGGCAUGGGCUCCAGCAAGCGCCACCGCGAUCCCAUCGGCAUGGCCUCCAGCAAGAUACUAUCAAUUUGGUGCCAUUGCCUCCACGUAGUGACAACAAUGGUCAGCAUCGGUGCAAAUGCAUCUGUGGGUAUCCCAACCAUGAGAGGCACAUUGCCGCAAGCACCCAUUAACUGAGCAGGCUUUUUUCAUCUUUACACACCCAAGAAUAGGUCCAAGGUCCAUUGUACCUGCAGAUUAGACACAACAUCCAGACGAAUUUAAAACUAAUGUGAUGUUUGAUUUAAACAAAAUAGAAGAGGCGCACAAACAAAAGAAACUAAUGAAUAUGUAGGAGAAAAUAUUUAUCUAUGCUCCAACAUACCUGCUGCAUGGCAGGACAAGGAAGUGGUGGACAUGACAAUAAGAGCUAGCAAGCAAAAUGCCCUUGUGUUCUUCAUCAGCCCCAUCACUAGUAGCUGGCUAUUAUUUUGCUCUGGCUAUUUUUGCAGCUAUGCCCAGUUUGCUAAUAGUUAUACAUACAUGAGAAAUUAAGUGUAUGCACAAUUUAAUUGGGAACUGAUAAAUACAUACACAAGUAUAUAGUUUGGAUAACUUGUUAUUAAUUGGUUAUUAAUGAUUGAUAUACCAGAAGUAAUUAGUUUGCCAAAUUAAGACACAUAUCGGAGCUAAAUCAAGCUACAUUUUAAUGUUUUGUAAACUGCCAUCCAGCUUUUUUUCCUAAAUUGCUGUCCAUGUUUUUGACUAUGAUUGAUUACACAUAACGUCCAAAAUAUAUAUAUUACCUGAUAUGUUUUGAUUGUAACACACAACAAAGCUGUCUAUACCGAACUGGAAGAGCCAAACUAGAUAGCAUGAUCAUCGAACCGAGAUGUAUAAGGUGUAUAUAGCAAAUAGAAAAAAACAUUUGUCAACUUGGCAUGUAGCUCAAUGUUUUUUUUCGUGUAUAGCCAUUGUCGGUACAAACUCAGAUCAGAGUCGAUAACGACAUGCUUGUGUUCCAAUCAAGACCAAUGUUACUAUAUAUAUGACUUGUAUCUGUAUUCAUGUUUAAAUUACACUAUAUGUGGGAUAGAGUAUACGUGUUAAUAAACCGUACAAGUAUAAAUGGAAUCCCAAAACUGGUUAGCAUUGUUUUUAAUUGCCAACUUAAAUGAAGCAACACAUUGUCAAAACUAGUAACUAGAGACAUUAAAAGAUAGGUACACCCAAAAUUAUUAAUUGUAAUUUUAGUAUGUUACAACACACCAUCACAAUCAUUAUAGAUUGACAUCAAUCAUUCUAACAAGGCAAAUACAUACCUCAUAAUAAACCAUGACUUUUAUACUGUAUAUAUUUCCACAAUCUAUACGAUCCAAUUUAUAGUAAAGGAUAACUUUAGUACCUUAUAUACACUGGGAAUAAAAUAAAAGAUGCUCAACUGGAAAACAAUAAAUAAUGGUGCUAGGUUCUACUCUUGAUAGGCUACUAGAAAUCCAAAGGAAGAACCCACAUGCCACCUGGAGCGGCUAUAUAAGAUCCUGCUGAUUUGAUNNNNNNNNNNNNNNNNNNNNNNNNNNNNNNNNNNNNNNNNNNNNNNNNNNNNNNNNNNNNNNNNNNNNNNNNNNNNNNNNNNNNNNNNNNNNNNNNNNNNNNNNNNNNNNNNNNNNNNNNNNNNNAUCCUGCUGAUUUGAUUAUCCACAUGGCAUCGCAACUGCUUUCGUCUUGCCUAUGAGAUACACGGUCACCAUGGACGUUCAAACUCGUGAAGUACACCGGAUCAUCAGUGUAGACGCAGCUCAUAUGCACCCUUCCACACCCAGCCGUGGGCACGUACAUCACCCUGGACCAUGUUUUUCCUAAAAACAAGCCAUACACACCCAUCUCUACCAUGAUUCAGAUACCUUAAAAAAGGGCUCUUGGAUGUGAGGUGAUGGCGAGUUUCUUGCCACCAUCACAAAUUUUCCAUGUUGCUCAAUGCUAUCGUUUGGGUAUAUGGUAUAGUGGAUACACACUUUUGUAUCAACAUCCGGUGGGGUUGGCCAGUAACCACCGACCGCAGUCUUGGUUCACCUCUAGAUCAUGUGCUCGAGGUGGGUGAUGCCAUACAACUGUCCAUUGCAGAAUAAGGUGUCGACAAGGGGUCACUCCAUCAACUUCUGUUACCACCCGCCCGUUGUGGAGUAUAGGGGGGGGGGGGGGGNNNNNNNNNNNNNNNNNNNNNNNNNNNNNNNNNNNNNNNNNNNNNNNNNNNNNNNNNNNNNNNNNNNNNNNNNNNNNNGGGGGGGGGGGGGGGUGGGGGGGGGGGGGGNNNNNNNNNNNNNGGGGGGGGGGGGGGGACAACCUUUGGAUUUAUGUCAUGAGAAAAGGUUCAUCAUCGCAAGCUGAAAGGUUCAUGAGCCACGAACAGCUUGCUGAUGGAUGCAUCACUCCGCAGGGGGAGGUGAAAGAAUUGGUCGUCCUUACGACAGUACGUGGUGUUCUUCUUGCCGUUCUUGUUGCCGUUGUGGCGUAACGGGGGAAGUCAAGCCAUAGUACCAUGGUAGAGCGGAUGUCACUGUGUGUCAUGAUGCAAUUGCAGGGAUUUUUGUCCAAAAGGACCCCCUGUCGAGUGAGAUUGUCAAAAAAGACCACCUGCGAGUGCAAACGUCAAAAAAGACCCCCACCCCGGACGGCGGCAGGCGUGCCAGGCGGCACGUGGCACCUGCCGCCACCGCAGGAGGCGGCCGUGGGGCCAGCCGCCACCGCCCCUGGCGGCCAGCGCGGGAUCCGUUCCCGAUUCCUCCUGUCCGUAACGGACAAGGCCGGGUGGGCCCUGCCGCCUCGGGAGCAGGCGGCCAGGUGCACUUUUUCCGCGCACCGGCACUGUUGCUGAUUGAUUGCGCUGAUUCCGAGGCUCUUUCCCGCUCGAUUUUUUUCCGCGCGGCCGGCCAGAACUGUGGGAUUUUUUCCCGCUCUCCACCGACGAAUUUUUCCCGCGCGGCCAGAUCUCUUUCCUUAUACAUGCAUGUAAAGGUGGAGUAUAAUGUCCCAAAAACACAUGAAUCUGAACUCUAAAACGGUUACUUCAAGCCAUAGUUUGAUGUAUGGCGCCCUGAAGCUGUUGUUGUUAAUUUUUCUCAAGAAGCUUAAGAUGUUGAUGCACAAGGUAAACUAAAUAGGAAUGAGUUGUCACACAAGAAAUAGUAAUCAAGAUCAGAGAUGGAUCGAUUCAUCUAUAUGACAAGGUGAUCGUUACAACUCUGUUGAAUGUUCACCUAUUGUGCAAGUUGCACGGAUGGCUAAGUGCAUGGGAGGCAUAUACUACGGAUAUUUUGUUGGGCCGUGGUUAUCCCCCAUCCCUCGAACCAAACCAAGAUAUCCACGCUGGUGAAGGCGGGCGGAUUUUUCCGUGGUUUCACGGGGCUCUCAUCUUCGGGUCAGCAUUGUUCACCGCGGCGAUUUCAGAGGGACUCUUUGUGUCCUGGUCGACACUGUUCGUUACGGUGGUUUCGUGGGGCUUUUAUCUCUAGGUCGACGAGCAGUGCAAUAGUUUCCCGCCUAAUUUUCCCGCCAAAUUUUCCCGCUGCAGUUUCUCGUUUUCGCGCCCUUUUUUCCCGCGUAGACAUCCGGCUGAGCCUAUAAAAGGAGGCACGGAGUGAAACUCUCUUCACCAUCAGACAGACUUCAAAGCACCUGCACCUCCAUAGUCAGUAUGAGUUUGCCUUGUUCGGAUCAGAGCAUUAGGCCUAGGAAAAUGCAGAGUGCAAGCUUGCCUCGGGGGGUGGAAGCAGUUCGAUGUUGGUGCGGAGAUGUCUGCAAGGUGAAGGAGGUUACGGAUUUUUCAGAUUGGUUGGGCAUGAAGUUUUUCAUGUGCGCCAAUUAUGAAUCUGAUCCACCCGAAUCUAUUUCUGCGUACGUCAGGCCUCCGGUAUGCUCAAGUCAUCCAGAUUAUUGUUAUUUGACUUUAUUGUUUACUUGAAUCUGAUCCAUCCUUUAGUCUCCUCCUCCUCUAUGCAUGUACUAUCGUUGGAUUGACACGGAAAUGCCGGACUGGGCGGUGACCGAGAUUCGUGAAAGAGGUCGUCGUGCAUGGGCUAGCUUGGACUUGGAAGAGCGUCGUGAGAAGGCUGAAGCAGAGGAGAAAGCAGAGCAGAAGAAAGAGUGGGAAGAUUACUGUGUGGAGCAGAGGGCUUUUCUUGAUGAGAUGAUAAGGAAAAAUCAAGAAGAGAAACUUCGGCUGGAGGAGGUUUACAGACAGCGGGAACAGGCCCGUGAAGCUGAGAGGGAGAGAAAGAGAGAAAGGGCUCGUGCCGCCAAGGCAGCAGAAGAAGCUGGUGAUGGAAAAGGAAAAUAUCCACGUUGGACUCAGUAGAUUUAUUUUAUUGUAUGUUAAGUUGUCUUAGUUGUAUCUUAAUUUCUGCAAGAUGUAUCUUAAUUUCGGCAAAUUGUAUCUUAGUUUCCGCAAUGGGUAUCUUAAUUUCAGCUACGUGUAUGUUCAUUUUAUCCCGCCAUUUAUUUCCCGCCUCGCUUUCCCGCCAUUUUAUCCCGCGUAUAGCUUUGCCGCCAGUUUGUUCCCGCCCUUGCUUUCCCGCCCUCGCUUUCCCGCCUCGUUUUCCCGCCAUUAGUUAUUCGUCUCGCUCUGCUGCACCUAUAAAACCCCCUCCAGACCAAGGUGGGUAAGGAGUGUGCUAAAAAUGUCUCAUUAUCCUUUCGAUCGUAGUUUUCAUAGUGGUAUGUCCGAGUGUCUUCUGCGCUUAGCUAGCAAUUUGAAGAUAGAUAAUAGAAUAGUUUUAUGGGACGAACUCAUCAGUAGUGACACGCUACUGAAUGAGGUUGCCCACGCAUUAGCUAGGAAGGGGUGGCCUGCAAGGACAUAUGAGGAGAUUCGGAAAGAACUUCUGCGGUUGAAUGAAAGAUGGAAGAAGAAAGGCCAACACAUACGCGGUGGAGGUGGAGUAAAACAUCCCUUCUUAUGGAUUGACGAUAGUGAGGACGAAGACGAUAUCUUCAUGCCGAGUAUCAAGAGCGCGUCAUCGACGAAGGCCAAGAGCGCAUCAUCAUCGAAGGCCAAGAGUAGCGCUUCGUCAAAGGGCGAGAGCUCUGCAUCGUCGAAGGAUGACGACGACUUUAUGUAGUUUUUUUAUGAACUCUACAUCUUAAUGUAUCUUAUUUUAUGUAUGUUAUUUUAUGUAUGUUAUUUUAUGAAUCUUAUUUUAUGUAUCUUAUUUUAUGGAAGCAACUUCAAAUAUACCGCGAACUUUUAUUUCAUGAAACUACAUAGAUGUCUUGUACGUACAUCUGAAAGUUUGAAACUGACAUAGAGAGAUGCAAUUGUUCGCACACAUGCAUAGACGAAUCACCCUAUGCGACGACGACCAGCUGGCCUUGCCCGACGACCGGAGGGUGACAAUCGAUCAAGGGGUCUGUGUUCACGAAGACCACGACCGUACUGUCCCUCGUGUUCCUGUGUCUGCGACUCAUGCAUAGGUGGUGGAGUCUGAAAUCCAUAUUGAGAUGAUGAUUCUAAAUUGUAGGUGAAUGGUUGUGACUCAGAAUUGAUGUAAGAUGGACCAAUAACGUCCUGCCCGAAAAAAUCAUUUAUCAUUCCUGGGAGCGUGCAUUGAGUAUCAUGGGUUUCUGUGAGUAUUUCUUUCUGUACGCCACGCUGGGUAUGUUCAUCUCCCCAUGAUGGAUCAUUAAUUUCCUGGUCCACGAAAAAAUGUUUUUAAAAUGAAUUCUGUGUAACAAAAAGAUGUGUAAAUAGAAGUUAUGUAAUUGCUUAUUAUAAUUGUACAUACCUGACCGCUGUUGUAGCUUUGUGCUCCCUCGCUUGUCUCAGCCCAACGAUUCUCCUCGGGCAUCCUAAUCCCUCGUGUGGGCAGAUAUGGCUGAGAUCCUUGAAUGUGUGCGCCAUAUGAUGUAUAUGCAUCCUGCUCCACGAAAUGAGUCUGUUCGGGUGUCGAUCCUACAUCUGGAGCAUUUACCUGUGAUGUCUGCCCAUGUAUUGGUAGAGACGAGUCAUGUCGUGGAAGUGUCGGCAUAGUAUUACGACCCUCUGCCCACCGCAUGGACGACGACGGCGCCCCACUCGGUCUAGCUGACCUCGGUUCCGGAAUGUUGUACGCUGCAGUGACAACGUCGUUCUCUGUACCGCAUCUCGUAAUCUUUGUGCUCACGAAUUCGCUAAUUUUUUUAAACCACGACCUGCAUUUAGGAUCAAUUCCCUCGGCUCGCAUUCCUUCACUCGCCAUCGCUUGUACUUGGGUGCAAAUAUCAAUCUGAAAAAAAUCGUUGUUCGUUGGUUAAAUUGUUCAUGAAAUGAUGGACCUGAAUAGCAAGAUGUUGAUUAUUACCGCGGAGUCACGAUAGUAAGCUGAUGAUGUGUCCAUCCGUCUCUGCAACUGUUCCAUAUGCGUUGGAUGUGUUGGCAUCGUAGGUGGUUCACUCGUCAGUCUAGUACGCGUGCUCAUGCGAUACCAAUUAUAGUACGCUUCUGUCGUAGUUGCAUCGUACGUUCUGCAUAAAUAAAUUAACAUUACUAAAUUGACAUCACAUUCUGUAUUUUAUAAGCACAUAAUUAAAUUAACAUUAGUAAAAUUACCGUUGGUGAGGCACUAUAUUUUGUAGAGCUUCAUUAUUCCACUGAUUUAUCCAUUCAAUGUUUUCUGCAUUCCAGUCCACACCAGAUCUGCCCAUAUUGCUCAUCCUGUAAUUAUAGAUAACAAAAAAAAAUUCAAGAAUAGUUGAUGGAAUAUCUAUUUAGCUAGGUCACAUCUUACUUACUUAUGAGUUUCUUCGUCGAUACAUCUUGGAACCGGUGGUGGAAUAUCUUGAUAUAGACCGAACUGUCUCAUGACACGGUCAGGAUUAUACGGUUCCACAAACCAUAGAUAGAGUAAAUUGCAGCGAGUCAUCCAAAAGGCACUAUCUCUCACGCAUUCCACUGGCAUGUGUUGCGAACCAAAUACCAUAUCAAUGUGCGCCUCAGUCCACGGGUUCCAUGUUAUUAGUGAGUCGUUAAGAAGCUCAAACUGAUCAUGGUAUAUGGGGUAACAAUUUUUUGCAAUUUUAGUAGACCAUUUUUUUCGACCCAGCAUCCACCGAGUGGACAUAGUUACAACACCCUCAUCAUAGUUGUACGGGGUUGCAGGUUCUACUAUCUGCGGUCGUCCUAUAGGUAAGUAUUCCCAGGACCACAACUGUAGAAACUCGUAGGAGACACAAAGUAAUGGAGCUUUAGAUGUGAAUGCCGUUUUUUGAGUGGCAUCACACAACCCUCGGUAUGUGUGAGAAAGCAAAGCAGAACCAAAGCUAUAUGGUGGAUUUUGGGGUAAAGGUUCGUCUACUAUCUUUGCGGCAAAAUAGAUGAGACCAGGCAAAACUACAUCCCCGUGAGAAUUAGGAAACAUCACACCGAAGAGCCACAACAAAUAUGCAAACAAGUGUCUCUUCGUUGUCUCAGGAUCAGCAUGGGUAGAUAAAAUUUCGAAGUUAAUACGAAGCCAGCUGUGUGGGACACCUCGAGGCGGACCAGAACGAUCUGAUAUGGGCAUUUCGAGCCUCAGACGGGCAGAGACAUCUGCUGGCCAAUUAGGAGAAACUCGUGGAUGUACCACUGGCACACCUCUAAUUGGUAAAGCUGUGAUCAUUGACACAUCUUUUAGAGUAGGUGCAAGCUCUCCACAUCGAAAGUGAAAUGUGUGGGUCUCCGGUCUCCAUCUAUCAACGCGGGAUGUCAAAAGGGAUGGAUCGGCAGUAAAACUACCUCGACGAGCUGCGAUGUUCGCAAAAUGUAGGAGUCCAUAAGCCUCAAGGUGUUCAAGGAACCGAUUCUCUAUUGACCAGGGCGUCUUUACAGUUCGAAGCCGGAAGGUCUGAGGAGGAUUUUCAUGAUUUGGAUUUAUGAAAAGCUGGCAACGGUGGUGGUUGUCGUGAUAACCAUUCAAAAGCUGAGGCAUUUCAGCCAUAACCUGCAAUCACGAUGAAAAAAAUUAAAUAUUUCGAAUAUUACAUCACGAUUAAAUUAAAAUACAUGUUCCGAAUAUUACUCACGAUUAAAUUAAANNNNNNNNNNNNNNNNNNNNNNNNNNNNNNNNNNNNNNNNNNNNNNNNNNNNNNNNNNNNNNNNNNNNNNNNNNNNNNNNNNNNNNNNNNNNNNNNNNNNNNNNNNNNNNNNNNNNNNNNNNNNNNNNNNNNNNNNNNNNNNNNNNNNNNNNNNNNNNNNNNNNNNNNNNNNNNNNNNNNNNNNNNNNNNNNNNUUAAAUUAAAAUACAUAUUCCGAAUAUUACAUAGCAUGAUUACAUAUCACGCAGUGUUGUUGUUACGAUACGGGCAGUCCCUACGCGGGUGACCAGCACACCUACAUACGCGGCAUCGCCUUGGUUCUCCCAACUGGCUGUGGUCCAUGUCAUUGCGAUGACGCCUAGACUGACGCCGUCCCUCGCUGAUUCGCAUCAAUGCGGGAUCUGGAACCCAUGUGGUGCCUUCUGGCCAUAAUUGCUUGUAGUUCGUAUCAAUGCCCCAUGCCCAAAACUCACCGUUCCAAGUGUUGUACAAAUUGUGCAUGUUGAAGUAUGGUGAUACGUACGGCUCGACACUAAUUUGUUGAUCUGCAGCUGCCCGCAAUACGUGACUACAAGGAUAUCCCAGAAGCUUGGGCUUGUUGCAAGUGCACUGACACGAGGUUGCGCCAAGCGUCACAACUUUUUUUCUUCAACUACAACUUAGAAAAGUGAUAAUACGCUCCCUAAGACAAAAGAAAACACAUACUUAGAAACUAAUCAAACAAAAUAAAUACAUCAUGCAUGCAAACACAACCAACAGAUAUGGAAAGCUCUUACGUUGAUCUAUCUUUUCUUCAACUACAACGUCUUCAAAAUCUCACUUUAAUCCGUCCUAAAUCAUCACAUAAACAUUCAUACGGAGUGAGAAAGAGAAGAGAGUGAGAAAGAGAAGAGAGUGAGAAAGAGGAGUGACACGGGAGGCAACGGCAGGAGAAGAGAGUGAGAGAGGAGGCAGCGACGCAGCUCCUUUAUACAGAUAAUUUUGGCACUGUUUUGUCGGUGGAGAGCGGGAAAAAUUUCGUUGGUGCAGACAGCAUGGGAAUCAGCCGACAUGAUGGGAAUCAGCGCUGUCAGGUGGGAAUCAGCGCCAUCAUCCACAAUACCAGCCGCCGGCUGCCGAGGCGGCGGGGCCCGCCUGGCCGCCUCCUCUCGUGGCGGCAUGUCCCACCACUCUCUCACCGUUCCGUCGCGGCUACGCUGGAACGGAAAUCCGCGCCGGCCGCCUCGCGCCAUGGCGGCAGGCCCCAGCCGCCUCGGGCUGUGGCGGCAGGUGACACGCGUCGCCUGGCACGCCUGCCGCCACGGUGGGUGGGGGUCUUUUCUGCCACUUUCGUCCACAGGUGGUCCUUUCCGACAAAUGCACUCGGCAAGGGGUCUUUUUAGACAAAAAUUCCAAUUGCAGUGGCUCACCACCACCUGCAUGUGGCAGCAAAAUGGACGUGGUGGAGCAAGUCGGCAAGCUCUGGGCGACGGCCAUCGGUCCCUGCACGAUCCACCAGUUUGAUUGAGUUUCAACGACGCAGCACACAAGUAAUGAUAACUAUAUAUAGCGAUAAAAUUGUGUGUCUGGGGUCAAACGAGGAAUCCAGAUUCAUGCGGUGGUGAUGGAGAGCCCGUCACCAAAUCGCAUUGAGUGAGCCUUGCGAGCAGCUAUAUGUACCUUCUAUUUUCUGGCUAUAUAUACAUGCACGCGGGUAUAUAUACAUUAAAUGUUGGUAGCUGCAAGCAAGUAAAACCGAUCACUUGUGUUACUCGUCAACAAAGUUCACAUCUUGUACAUAGAGCUUCUUGUGUUGGUUUGUAGCUGUCGGGUCAUGAUCAUUUAUGAGGAUCCGGCAUGUGCUAACCAAAAGAAUCACCACCCUCGGUAUGUAAAAUUUCAAAAAUUCGGAAAAGGUAUUUGCAGGUUCCAAAAUUUGACAAGUAAUAUCUAGGGAUAUAUAUGUGUUCUCUAUACAUCAAUAAUUAUGUAUUUAUUACCAUGUUGAUUUGUAGGCUACUCCACACAAAAAAGAUAAAGUUAUGUGGCUUAAAAAAUAACUCCAUUUUGAUCCAUGUGUACUUGUCUGUUUGGUCUAGAAAAUUCGCAUGCACAUACCGUACAUCUAUAUUUAGAGAAUAACUAUGAAGGUGAUGGUGUAUAAAUAUUUUAGAACUUUCAGGGUCCAAUACUGAUUGAGAGCUAGCACAGAAUAACCAUGAAGGCACCCUAAAAAAAGAAUAACCACGAAGGUGGUAAUGAUGCCUUUGGAUAUUGACGUUGAAGACAAGUACAAUGGGAAAUUGUUAUCUCUCGGGAGCUUUUGUAUCAAUACCCACAAUUGUUCAGGUGCCCGAAAAACUGAUGGACAAUAAUUCCCAACUUGCGUCAAGCUAUGUUUUCCAUUUUUCUAAUUGAUUCAAUUUUCAGUCUUGUUCCCAUUUUAUUUAGUAUGCUGCAACUUGACAAACAGUCAGUGGAGAAAUAGUCAUUUCCAGGACAACUGACGAAGAAACGUCCAAAAGUAUAUCCGAUAUAAGAUUUUUAAUGGAUUGCCUAAUAAUAUGCGCGGGAUUACUUUCGACCAAAAUAAGUAUAUGAUACAUUUAUAUGAAAUGAUAACUCACAAGUCACAAGGGAUACACAUAAUCGAUACUUCCACUCAAAGAACAUAUCACCGAAAUAGUCACUUCAAAAAUAUAAUCCAACUACAUUGUUUAGAAGUUUAUUAAAUCUAUUGAUUGGUAGUGGCAUAGAUGAUUGACUUUCACCCUCCUAAGAAAAUACCACAUGACAAUAUAUUCUACUAUCAAUUUAAUGGUUUUCCAUCCGCAUAGUGGCAGCAACUGCCAGCAUCGGCACAAUAGCAUCUGUGGGUAUUCCAACCAAGGUCGGAACAUAUCUUGGUGCACCCAACAACCGAACAAGCUUUUUCCAUCUUUACACACCCAAGAAUAGGUCCAAAGUCCAUUGUAUCUGUGCAAGAUCAGUCACAACAUCCACAACCAAUUAGUCUAUGGUACACGUUAAAUUACUUGGUUGAUAGAAGAACGGAUCAUGUAUUGUUAAACUGAAUAAAAUAAAAGAGAUAAAUAUAAAAAAAACAUUAAUGUAUAAACAGGGGGGUGGGGAUAUUUACGUGUCCUCCUCGCAGCAACAUGGCAGGACAAGGAAGUGAUGGACAUGAGAAUAAUAGCUAUCCAACACAACACGCUGGUGUUCUUCACAAGCGCCAUCUUGCUAGUGUUCUACUCCUGCUUUCUUGCAGCUUCGUCCUUUUCCUAGUGUUUAUAUAGUGAGAUGAGUGUGUAACAAAUUAAAAGGAAUGUUGUUAAUGCAUACGUAAGUAUACCAUCUGGAUAACUUUCUAAUAAUUGUUUUAAUAUUUGGUAUGUUGGAAGUAAUUGGUUUACUAAAUUAAGACAUGUAUCAUAGCUAAAUUUAGUUAUAUACUCCCUCCAUCCCAAAAUAAGCGACUUAAAAAUGACUCAACUUUGCAAUCAUAGUACGAAGUUAAGUUAUUUUUGAAUCACUUAUUGUAAAACGGAGGGAGUAUUAUUUAUAGCAUGUUAUUGACAGUUCAUAAGCAAAUUAAACAAUAGCUGUGCUAUUUUGGCCCGGUUCAUGUGACUAUGAUUUUCUUCAGGUGUAGGCCUCAUGUGAGUCUGGUGCUGCGUGGGCAACGCAUUUGGCGGGACAGGGCAUGGGCUUGCCUCGAGCAGCCUUCAAUGGGCCGGGCCAGUAAGAAUAUCUUAUGUUUUCCCUUUUUACUUAGCCUUGCAUUUUCUCCUUUUUUUCAUUUUUUUAAUAUUCUUUAUACCUAUACUUCAAAUUUUAAUUAAUCAAUAAUUUUGGAGAUGUUUACUGUGCAUUUAAGAAGCGUUAACACAGUUUUUUUUAAAUAGCCCUGCAUUUCAGAAAAUCUCUAUUGGCCUACUCGUUUACCUGCAAAUUUUGUCCUAACGCGCAGGCAGAUAUUGCUUACACUACUCUUGGCUGGCUAGAACACUGGAGGGGAGUAUCCACAGCUACCUCCAGAGCAAUAUGCUAUGUAGAGAAUUGCAGAAUUUGGUUCCAUCGCGCGCACUUUCAAACCACAUAGCAAGAAACAUUAAACCACAAAUCGAAAGCAAGAACUAAUCCUUUAUCAAGUUUACUUUAUUAUUUCCUUCGUUCCUAAAUAUAAGUCUUUUAAGAUAUUUUACUACAGACUACGUACGCAGCAAAAUGAGUGAAUCAACACUUUAAAAUGUGUCCAUAUACAACUGUAUGUUGCAUAGAAUCAAGACUGUUUGUAUUUUUUAAAUUAUAGAAUCAAGACUGUUUGUAUUUUUUCAAUUAUAAAAUCAUUUUUGUACAUACAAUUUCAUAUGUAUAUUUUCUAGUAAACGGAAAUCUCUUAUAUUUGUUACUUUGAUUUUCGCGAUCAGAUAAACUUUCAUACAAACAGUCUUGUAAGUUUUGGAUGACAUGAAGUUGCAAUCCUAUAAUUUUCCUAUCCAUAUCAUGCAAUCGAAUAUGUCCCUUUGGGAAUUUAUCGGCCACAAGAGAAUGUAAAUAAUGUCCUUGUGGGAAUUUAUGGUUGUUCUCAUAACAAAUAUUAAAAAUCAGCAUCCCAGUAUAAAUUUAAAUACAAAAACGGUGCACUCUAGUUCUAGUUAGACCUAUCUCCGAUAUUUAGUUUUGCUAUCCUUAAGUCGCUUCAUCUUCUAAUAAUAAAGCUCUCUCCAUUUUAGCAGGAGUAUUUAUUAUGUUCUACACAACUGUAGUCGAUUUCUCGACCUGCUGCCACUUCUUUGGCGUCAUCCUCUUGGAGAUCUUCGAUAAAAGAGUGGCCAUGUGUGUUUCGUCUUCCUGGCGUCUCUUCAUUUCUAUUGAUUUCAGAUUCUUGCACCAAGAAACACAGUGCGUUGAGUCAACAUGUUUGGAAGAUGUCAUCUUCUUCCUCCUCUUUGGGGUUGCGAGAUCUACAAACUGCAGUUUCAUAUAUGAGAAUAAUUAAUUAGCAGGGUGCAAGCGAACUACAUCUAUGCCUACAUCUAUGCCGACGACAUGUCAUUAACGUAUUUAUACGUCCAUGAUGAUCAUGUAUAUCAUAUGCUAGAUGAAAGCAAUGAUGAUGUCAUGCGAGAGAUCAAAUCAGCAGGAUCUAUUAUAGUUCCUCAUGCUUCAACUGGCAUGUGGAUUCUCCCUCCGGAUUUCUAGCCGACCAAGUCUACUCUAGUCUAGCAUGACACACCUCUAACUUUAUUCAUAGAAUAGAAGGUAUUGCAGUCAGCCUUAAUAAUCAUUAUUUGGGCAUUUGGGCCAUAUAGAUCAUAGAAAUAGCUAUUAGUACAUAGGAAGUCGUCACAUUUCACCGAGACGUGUGCAUAAGACUUGUUAAAGAUUGUUGUUCCUAAUCUUGUUGGAAUAUGCAAAAUUUAUGUAUAUCUUUACUGUUAGAAGAUAGGAGAAUGGAUACAAUAAAAGAUACAACACAUGUCAUGAACGCACGGAGGUAUGAGCAUGCAGCCUGGAGCAGAGAGAGAGAAGGGCUGCUCAUCCCGAACUGGGUAAAUGAGACAUCUCAACGCACAAAGCCUAAAACUACAUGAGUAUGCAGAAUCAGUAGGACAUCCAGCAUCUUCGAAUCAAACACCAGGGACACUACGAGCGAGCAAGACAGCGUCUUCAAAAAACAGAAUUGUUUCGAUCUGUGAGAUGCAUGGGUGGAAUAUUGUGUUAUGGCAUACAAAAUUGACGAAUUAUCCGUUCUUGGCUUGUGUCGUUUAAUGCUAUACUCCCUCCGUUCCUAAAUAUAAGACCUUUUAGAGAUUUCACUAUAAACUACAUACGGAUGUAUAUAGACAUAUUAUAGAGUAUAGAUUCAUUCAUUUUUCUUCGUAUGUAGUCUCUAAUGAAAUCUCUACAAGGUCUUAUAUUUAGGAACAGAGGGAGUAUAUGCUAGUGGGGUUUGAUAGUCCUUUUAUACGUGUACCGCAUGCAGUAUGCUCUACUAUGUACUUUCUUCGUCUCAAAAUUAUUGUCUUAGAUUUGUCUAGUUAUAAAUGUAUCGAGUCAUAUUUUACUAUGGGGACUGAUCUACGCCGGCGCGCCGGCCCAAACUUUCGGCCGGCCACGCGCGAGCCGCAGGAUCCACCAACCCCGCGUCGUUCGCACCGUUGGAUCCGCAUGCAACAUUUUUCUUCCUAUGCAGCAAAAUUUCGAUGCUAUGCAGCAAUUUUUUCAAAGGUUGCAACAAAAAACAAAAUUUGUAGCAAAAAAAUAUCUACGUGAUCGUAGCAAAAAAACAAAGCUGAUGGUACGUGGUAGCAAAAGUCAAACGUUGGUUGUAACAAAUAUUUACGUGACGUGUAUGCAACUUUUUUAGUGAACGGUUGCAGCAAAACAUGAUGCCGAUUGUAGCAAAAAUUAACGCGGUUGUAGCAAAAGUAAAAAACAUCAAUUGUAACGAAAAAUCCGACGAACAGGAGUUGCAACCAAACGUAUAUGCGGUUUUUUUACUGGAACAAAAAAAAUAAAAAAAACGAUUGCAGCAAAUAUGACGCUGGUUGCAACAUAUUUAGACGAAAAAUGUUGCAUCCAUUGACCAGCGAAGCGCGCGAGUGAAAAAAAUGUUGCAAGGGCCCGCGCGCGCGAGGGACGACCGGCGCGCGGAUGGGAAACGAUUUCCUUUUACUAUUUACAUACAUCCAUUUUUAAAUAAACCUAAGAUCAAAAUUUUGGGACUGAAAGAGUACACGACAUAGAUUCGGAGAGGGAACCAAUCACGGGCCCUGAUUAGUUAUUGGACCGAGAUCAUCUUUACCAGAGAGCCACUAUAAAGCUUGUUACAUACGUGCCUCAGCGCCUGACAAUUAUAAUACUCCCGUCCCGUCCCGUCCCGUGUGGCGUGAUCGGAAAUCAGCCAACGAUUGUCUGCGCGAAUAGGGAUAUAGGAUAGAUCGAUGGGCCGCCGGCGCCGCCAAACCCCUAGCAUCAAACCGAGCACGCCACCGAUGACGAUGCCAGUCCGGUGGUGGUCCGAUCUCCCCGACGACCUCCUCGACGUGGUCUACAGCAAGGUCGCCGGCCCGCUCAACCGCGUCCGCUUUGCCGCUGUAUGCAGGUCGUGGCGAGCCACCGCGACCACGUCGCUUCACGCCGCGCCGCCCGUCCUCCCGUGGCUCAUGUUCAACGACGCCCGACAGGACGGCGACAAGACGAUGGUGUACUGCCCCGAGGAUGGCCAGGUCUUCCGCAUGUCUCUGCCGAGCCGGGCGGUUGGCAAGCGGUUCGUCGGCGCCUAUGACGGCGGCUGGGUCGCCGCGCUUGGGCACGACAUGCAGCUCGCGGUCGUGAACCUUUUCUCCGGUGUCGAGGCGCGGCUAGCCGCCUGGAACAUGCACGGACUCUCCUUGGGCGGCGGCCGGAACGACAUCCAGAAGAUCGUGUUCUCAGAAUCCCCGGCAUCAACCGGCUGCAUCCUCGCCACCAUCACCCCCCGCUACGGCCUCGCCCUAUGUAGGAUUGGUUGUCGGUACAACAAGUGGACGGACGAAGGACCCGUACAUGAGCUCGUGGACAUCGUGUUCUGCAACGGGCAACUAUUUGGCCUCACCGUCUUCGAGCGAUUGCUCAGGUUCCAAAUAGUUGUGGAUCAUGAUGGCAAGCCGAUGGUCACCGGCCAACCCCACCAGAUCCGAACAGAUAGCUGUCCAACCAUGCAUCCCAAGAACAUCGUUGAUCUACACGGCAGGCCAGCAAUGGUGGUGAGGACCUUGUCGUCAUCAUGUGAAGCCUUUUGCGGGCCUUCCUUCAAGGUGUUUGAGCUUGUUGAUGAUGAUGAAUCGACGGCAGAGCAUGCCCACAAGUGGGAGGAGGCGACGAGUCUAGGCGACUAUGCUGUUUUCUUAGGGAAAAGGUGGUCAAAGGUUGCGUACGUGCCGGCUGUUGGGCGCGGCGGGCUGCAAAGAAACUGCAUCUACAGCACCGAUGACCUGCUUUGCUCAUCGACGAGGUUGGAAGAUCGCGGUGGCCGCAAUUUAUAUCCUACGAGCGACCGCGAUGCCAUGUCGAAGAUCAGAUCGUUUGUGGUUGCUCGUGCUCCGGGUGGUAUGUGGGUUCUCCCUCCGGAUUUCUAGACAACCAAGUGUAGUCUAGAGUGGCUACUUUGGCUCAGUACAUAUAUAAGGUAUUGAAGUCAACCUUUACCAUAAAUUGAACCAUAUGGACUAUAGAGAUCAGUUAUAGUAUAUACAAAAUCGUAGUUUAUGUAGAUGCAUACGUGCCUUAUUAAAAUAGGCAUUAUCAAUGUAUAGGAUGGUUGAAAUAUUGUGUUCUCACACGUAUAUACAAAAAUUAUGGAUCAUUCAUUCUUUUCUUAAUUUUCUCGCUUAAUGUUUUUGGCUAUGUAUCUCGACAAUACAUUUUGAUCUUCUAUGCUAAGAUCAGUUUUGGAUUCAUGGUAAUAACUUGUAUCCUGCAAUGACACGUUCCCUACCACAUAUAGAGAUUCAUAUUGAAUCCUUGUGUAAUUCAAACAAGGGCGGAUAGCAUAUAGAAACAUUUAUUGGCUUAGAAAAGCAAAUGUAAUUUUAUUAGGUCAAUCAAUAACACAUUGAGCUGUUGAGGUGGUUUUCAAAGUGAACGCUGGGGAAAAUCGGCAAACCAGAAGCAGAGGUGGAAUAAUGGAGGAUGAAAGAAAGGGCUUAAUGUGAAAUUUUAUGUGUUUGCCGAAAAAGAAUUUCGCCCCCUUUAUAUAUAACGCAAAACCAGAGACACACAUCCGAUUACAACGCGCCACCACCACACACAAUACACACACCCAAGACGUGCACUCCACCUACGAACACCGUCCCUCCUUUAAAUCCAUUUAGUCUAUCCUCGCAAAAGAAAAUCAAAUGAGUCUUUCUUGUAAUGAAAUUUGUUAGUAGUGUAGAAGAAGAUCACAGAACGAAGAAUUAGUACUAAUUAAAAAUUAGAUUCAGGUAAUGUGGUAAUCCUAUUAAUUUUGAUCAAAGUGAAAUACAUGCGUAAUAGAAUAGCACUGUUGUACUCUAGUAGCAAAGUUUUAAAUAGCUUCGCUAUAGCUUUGCUAUAGCCUUUUCAGUAGGGUGCCGUUAAAUGGUACCAUAUAUAAAUAGACGACUAUAACCCGUUAUAGCUGAUUUAGAGGCCCGCCGCUAUUUGCAUAGCCCGCUAUUUAAAACAUUGAUUAGCAGGGAUUGCAUUCGAUACGACAUGAGAACAUCAAAACACAGAACAUCAAAAAAGAGUUAAUCUUAUCUAGUUUUUCCUCCGUCUAUUUUGAAUCUGGGUUUAUGCAUGGCUUACGACUUACCUCGAAAAUAUAUUCGGAUGACCCGAUAAGGCUGCUGCAGCAAGGAAACAGGCGGCGACGGCCGGCCGUACAACGGACUUGUGGUGGCCGUCCCACAUCCCCUUUCUAGAAGCAGGUAGGCGGCGGCGGCGGCGGCGCCUCCCUGUUUCUCGCUGGUGAAGUUAUUUUUGGCUACGAUUAGUGGAACGAUGUUGACCAGGGCCUCAUUGAAAGAGCGUCCGCUUCUGGUGGGUCUGGUUGCAGUUUUCUGAUGAUGGGAUCGGGAAGAAAAAGCCUUCCAUCCAGGGCACGCGCCAGAUUUCAGAUUGUAUCAUGAUUUUUUCUUCGAUCGGAGCCCUGUGCGAUCGCACCGUUCGACGGGCCUGAAUGCAGUUGAUGUAUGGGUUGCAUUCAGUUUCAGUUACUUAUAAUGGCUAUUUUUCGGAAAUAUGGCAUAUUAAAGUAACUAGCUUUUGUUGAUAAAUAAUUAAAGUAACUAGGCUCAUACAUUUGGUAACUUAAAACACGUUGUUGCACAAAGAGAGUACAAUACAAAUUUUCUUCCAACUAAGGGAGACUUCCCUUGGUUCUACUUGAAUGAUUUUCUUCACAACGGCGAUAAGAUAGACGUUGCCCUAUUCAUAGUCGCCAUUUUUUCUGACCCCAUACAUAUGCACAUGUUCAAACUGGAACAUGCAGUGGAAAUUGAGACUUACGGGAUCGAUCCAUUAUGAGAAGACGCUCUGCUACGUCUGUCAUCCAUGGUCUUUGAUCCACAUCAAGGUUAAGACAUUCCACAGCGAUACAUGCCAGACUAUCAAGAAUCUCCAAAUCUUCUGUUACCGCAAUUUCCUUGUCAAAUAAUGGAGUUGCUUUCUUCUCUUUCUUGUAAGCUUCAAGGAAAUUAUUUACUAAGCUACCGCCGUCGGAAUGUGUGGCUUUCUUCCUACUGAUAAGCUCCAAGAUGACAACUCCAAAACUGUAGACAUCACUUUUUUCUGUUAGCAGCCCUGUUUGCAGAUAUACUGGAUCCAUAUAACUCAUGUCCCCAAUGAUAGAUCCCGUGUGUUGUUUGUCUCUUGCAAUCAACCUUGAUAUGCCGAAGUCUGAGAUCUUUGGCGCAUACUUAUCAUCCAAAAGUAUAUUUGCUGGUUUAACGUCGCCAUGUAGAAUCUUAGUAUUGGUUUUUGAAUGCAUAUAAACCAGACCAUCUGCUGAUUCUGCAGCAAUACUCAAACGUGCACCCAAGUGGAGGGGCACCUUGUUGUUGCCAUGAAGAAUAUCAUUGAGGCUGCCAUUACUGAGAAACUCAUAGACUAGAAUCGGGGCAUCAACUUCUAGGCAACAACCUAUGAGCCUAACGAUGUUCCUGUGGAUGACUUGAGAUUGAAUGAUGACUUCAUUUGCAAACUGUUCAUUCUCUAGCACACUUCCACUAAUCGGCUUUUUCACUGCGACUUGUUCAUCAUCAAGAAUGCCCUUGUAAACUUCGCCGAAGCCACCUUUUCCAAUAAAAUUGCUACUCUUCAAAAUUGGCUUGAGCUUCUCCUUUUCAAACAGUUUUAUGAAUUUUGCCUUCUCUAAUGUAUGCCCACCAUUUUUCUCAUAAAAUUCUCUAGUUUUCUUUUUCUCUUUGCGAAGAAGAAUAAGGAAUGAUAUGGCUGCCAUGAGAAAAAAAACACCUAUUCCACCUACAUGGAAACAAAACAAAAAGAUUUCAUAUUACUAAAUUUCCAAUAUAUAACUACUCUGUGUGCAAAAGAAAAUAUAAAAAGGAAACAACUCUUCUGAUUAUUUGUUCCGAUUUCUUUCACAAUAGUGGAUUUUCUACCUCAGGGGUACGUAGCUAUCCCCCAAGACCCACUAUCCACUCAGGGAUAUACGUAGCCAUCCCCACUAUCCAAUGGUACAUAGGGGUUUGUACCGAGUUCCCACGUGAGAAUUGGCCUACACGCUGAUUAAUAUCAUUGAUUUGUCAUUAGUGCCACAUAUGAACAUCAGUCAUGAACCGAACUAGUCGGAGCGAAGAAGAAUCCCGCUACUAGCUAGUGGGAGCCGGGGCCAUAGAAGGGGAGUAGGGGCGAUGGGAGAGGUGAUCCGGGGCGUCGGCUUACCAGUAAUCCUACAUCGACGGACCCUUACGGGGUUUUACAAACUGAGUUUGAGCUGUCAAAUUAUCAUUGGAUUAAGGUGAGAAAGGGGGCCCAUCCACCUGAAAAUCAGGGAAGGGUGGAGAGCAUUAGAGGGAAGGUCCCCGUAAAGUUCAUGUAAGGGUCCGUAUGUUUAGCAUUUUCGGUCGGCUUACACUCGCGCCCAAACCGAUGGCCGCUGGGACGGCGACCUCACCGGCGACGGAGGGGUCCUAUGGGUCCAGGUACUCCUGCCUGAGAGCGUUUAGGUAGUCCCUCCGUAAACUAAUAUAAGAGCAUUUACAACACUAUUCUAAUAAUCUAAACGCUUUUAUAUUGGUUUACAGAGGGAGUUGUUUAUACUGAGAAAUAUGUCUUAGGGGACGCAUGUUGAUUAACGUACAUUAGGUAGUUAACAAAACAAUUGCAUACAAACUAAAAACAGAGGAAGAUAGGGUAGAAUAUUUAGAUCGUGUCCUAUUUAUAUUUAUAUUUAUAACUUGUAUCAUAUUGUUGGUAGUGGUAUGCGAGGAGAAAUGGGCGCUCGCCCAGGCGAUCGUGGAGUCGACCUCGACGGCGACCACGUACUAGUCAAGAAGGCUGCUCCGGGCAACUCUCUCCAACGCAACAAGUUCUGGGCCCUAGCCAGCUCAGACGGAGAUGACUCCGAAGACGCAGAUGGCGGCGCACUGGUGGAGAUCUCAUCACCGACCCCUUCGUAUCUCGUUUGCGAAUCGCUUCGUGCCGGGCGUUUGGAGGCGGAGGUGGCCGGAUCCAUUGCUGAAAUUGUGCCGCCAGGAGAUAGCGCUUGGGAUGGACUCAACCACGACGAUGGUAUGUAGGUCGUUCUACGGAUAGUACAUCGACGAACGGCGUCACAGUGCAAUUCAAUAUGUCAGAGCAAUUACAAAGGGCAAUUUUGGACCACACACCACUACUGGUUGAUUCUAGGGAAGCGAUUCAUGUAGGUAAUAGAAAUAUUUUCUCUGUUGAAUUAAGCUGGUUCGAGAGAGAAGGUUCCAUGGAUAUCAUUGCUACUGAAUGGGCCAGGGAAGCUGGUGGGUCAUCUAAUAUAGAUAGGUGGCGAAACAAAAUUAGGCACUUGCCCCAGUUUUCGAGGGGCUGGGCCAAGAAUCAAAGUGGCAUUUACAAAGUAGAAAAAGAGAGGCUAACUCAGCUCAUUAAUGACUUAGAUGUGAGAGCAGAGUCUACACUUCUUAAUAUGUCAGAGCGGAAUGUUAAGAUUGAGGCUGAGAAGCAGUUACAAACUCUUCUGAGAGAGGAGGAGAUGAAAUGGGCCCUUCGAGCAAAGGUGAUGAGGGUGGUCCAUGGAGAUGAUAACACACAAUUCUUUCAUAUGAUUGCGAAUGGCAAGCUUAGGAAGAAGACAAUAAUUCAACUCGAACAUGAUGAAGAGUACAAUCGUAGGAAUCUCAAGUUGUACAUCUCUGAAUAUUAUAAGAAACUUUUUGGUUCACCUGAAGAGAAUUUUGUCUCUUUGGACGAGAACACAACAGGGGACAUAUCUCAACUCAUAAACGGUGAGAACGAGAUACUGUCAGCGCCGUUUACUGAGAAAGAGGUGUUUGACGCAAUAGCACAAAUGAAAAAUAACAAGGCCCCCGGACCGGAUGGGUUUCCGACCGAAUUCUAUAAAAAAUACCGGCAUAUUAUAAAGGAUGAUCUUUUGCUUACGUUCCAUGAAUUAUUUAAUGGACACCUACAACUUUUUCCCCUAAACUUCCGAACAAUAACAUUGUUGCCAAAGAAGAUGGAAGCCAUUCAAAUUGAGCAGUUCAGACCGAUCUGUUUGCUCAAUGUGAGUUUCAAAAUAUUUACAAAGGUUGGCACCAAUAGGCUGACGCAGAUAGCCCAUUCGGUAGUACAACCGAUGCAGACUGCUUUCAUGCCCGGGAGACACAUCCUAGAAGGGGUCAUGGUCUUGCAUGAAACGCUGCACGAAAUUCACACAAAAAAAAACUUGAUGGGGUUAUCUUUAAAGUGGAUUUUGAUAAGGCGUAUUGUCGUGGUUUUGUCACGGCAGAUGUCCUCAUGAAAGGACUUAAAGAUGGAGCCAUCGCACCUUGGUGGUGACUCAAAGGGGGUGAGCGAAAGCGACUCGGAUUUACCCAGGUUCGGCCUCUCGUGUGGAGGUAAAAGCCUACGUCCUGCUUUGUGUAGAUUGAUGAUGGUUUCGAUUACAAGGAGGGCAUAAUUCGCCUGACCUAGCUCUCGAUAAUUUCUAACCUGCCUCAUCUUCUCAGGGACUCGCCUUUAUAUACAGGUCGAGACCUUAGGGUUUACAAGAGUCCUGGCCAUGCUACAAAUCAUAGCUUUCCUUAUCUCUAAGUCGUCGUGUCUUCCAAGACUGAGAACUCACUUGGCGGUCUAUCUUUUGUAUAGUUCUUGAACCACCAUCCGCCCCCUGGGCCAAGGGUCGUACUUCUAAUGUUGAGUCGCCCUUUUGAUGACCCGGCCCACAUAAGGCGGGUUAUACCGCAGGUAAUAUCCCCAACAUUAGGCCUCAGAUAUUCUUGAAUUUAUUCACGCCAAUAAGCUUUCACCUAUUUGGGGCGACUUAUACUAUCCUUGCUUUUCGACGAAUGAUAAGCCGCCACUCGUUAUGAAUUUGUCUGACCCGACAGAUAAUCUUUGAUGACAUCACCCCAUCCCUUUAAUGUCGUGGUUUUAAUGCCAUAACCAUCCAACGGAUCUUUUGCUCCAUAUUUACUUAUCCUGAAAAUCCAGGCGCCAUCAUUGCAGAUUCUCGACUUGUCGUCUCGAUCCCCGCUCUGGCCGCCUCGAUUCCUGCUCUGGCCGCCUUGAUUCCUGCUCUGGCCCUUUAAAUAGUCGAGGGGGAGUGGGGGCACCGUCACCUACCCCCACUUCGGCCUCCUCGCGACCUCCGUCUUCCUUACGCCAUGUUCCUCCUAUCUUUCUUUGAAGUAUCGGUCGGGGUACGGAAAAGACUAGACUUUUAUAGAUCUCGUUUCUUUUGGCAAUGUGAUGAGGCCAAGAAGAAAUACCGAUUGGCCAGAUGAGACAUUAUUUGUAGACCCAAAGAACAAGGGGGUCUCGGUAUUGAGAACUUAGAAGUGAAAAAUAAAUACUUACUUAGCAAAUGGCUUUACAGGCUUUAUAAUAAAACCGAAGGAAUGUGGGUACAUAUUUUGAGGAAUAAAUACCUACAGACUUAGACAUUGGCCCAGGUUACAGUUAAACCUAAUGACUCACCUUUUUGGAAGGGGAUAAUGAAGGCCAAGGUAACCUUCUUUCAGCGGGUGAAGUUUUUAGUUUGUAACGAUACCACAACCAGUUUCUGGGAGGAUACUUGGCUUGGGGACACUCCUCUAGCUCUACAAUAUCCUUCUUUGUAUAAUAUUGCACAACGUGAGGAAGAUUAUGUUGCCACAAUAUUACAGUCGGUACCUCUGAAUAUCCAAUUCAGGUGAGCUAUAGUGGGAGAACGCUGGAAUUCUUGGCUACACUUGGUCGGACGAUUGAUGGAUGUUCAACUCUUUGACCAGGAAGAUAGUAUUCACUGGAAAUUAGCUAGGAAUGGUAGUUUUUCAGUGAAGUCGAUGUACAUGGAUCUAAUUAAUUCUGACCGCCUUUCGAGAUCGUUACAUAUUUGGAAAAUUAAAGUGCCACUUCGAAUUAAAAUUUUCAUGUGGUUUGUACAAAAAGGAGUUGUACUAACCAAGGAUAAUUUACUAAAAUGGAGUUGGAUAGGCAGGUCUACUUGUUGCUAUUGUGAUCAGAAUGAAACUAUAAGACAUCUCUUUCUUGAUUGCCCACUUGCAAAAUUACUAUGGCGCACUGUUUAUAUAGCAUUUAACAUUAAUCCACCAACGAGCAUUAAUACGUUAUUUGGGACGUGACUCAAUGGAGUAGACGUACAUAUAGCGAAUCAUAUCCGGAUUGGGAUAAGUGUUGUUUUCUGGGCUAUAUGGAACACUAGAAAUGAUAUGAUCUUUAAUGGCAAAAACAUUACUAAUUUUUGCCGGUUAUCUAUAGAGCUUAUGGCUACUGGGUGCAAUCGGUGGAAGACGGUCGUACGGGCUAUCUUCAGCCGAUUUGGAUGGCAAGCUAAUAAUAUACUAGGUGUAUAGGCAUCGUAGUCUUCUUUUAGUGUUGCUGCAAAUGGCAGAUUUUACCUACCUUUACCUUUUGUUUUUAUUGCUCACUUGGUAAGACUUUUGUGGACCUAAGACUUUAUUUUUGUUAUAUUUUAUAAUAAAAUGCUGGAUGCAUCGAUUGAUGCAGAGGCCGAAGACUUUGUUCCUCCUUUUCAAAAAAAAAUAAAAAGAUAGGAGCAUCUAAAAAGUAAAGGGAAAUGCUAUCUAGAAGCGCCGCACCGUGGACAUCCGGUACAGCGGCUUGUGUUCUCUUGCAUGCAUGCAUGCAAUGAUGUCAUCAGAUUCAUUCUAAAUGAUCAAAAUUCAAAAACUUUUAUCUCUUAAACCGUUAAUUCGAUCGAUAAUCCGUUUUCACCGUUGACUUUGUUUCGACGAAAUCUUUAAAACUAGAUCCCAUGUCGACAUGUUUUGACAACUUUUUUUUUUGCUCACAAUUACCACAUUUGUUGCACUUACUUGUCAUAUUAGUAAGUGCUUACUUGUCUAAUAAAAGAUAACUUAAUCGUCAAAUUCUUAAAAAUUGUGUAUAAAUAUGACAUCUUGACAUAAUCAAAAUGAUAAGCACAAACAACUUUUUGAGGCGAUUACACGCAAAAAUAGGGCAACUCAACAUAUUUAAAACCGGUGACCACAAAAAAAUCUUUUUUGGUCAUCGUUUGUAAAUAUGACAACUCGGCAUAGUUAAACUAGCAUCUUGACAACUAAGUUUUUGUAAAAUUGACAACUAUGCAAUUUUAAACUACUACUAGUAGUACUAGUACUAACCAGAUGCAUUUCGCUAGUGAUUAAGGUCUGCCAACACAUGUUUUGUGUGAGACACUUUUUCUACCGAUUUUCUGUGUCACGCUUUGCAUGCAAUGCAUAUUUUUGUGAUGCCAUCUGCAUAUCCUUCUAAGCCACGCUGAUGUGUGCUGCAAUAUGGAUACAUGCGGCACAUGAUUCACAUCGAGAAAAAAAUGGCAAUUAAGUUAUUUUUUUUUGACAAGUAAGUGGCUAAUAAUACGACAAUUAAGUCUAAAAAUGUGGUAAUUAUGGACGGAGAAAAAAAGUUCUCGAAACAUGUCAACAUGGGGUCUAGUUUUGAAGAUCUCGUCGCGACAAAGCCAACGGUGAAAACGGAUUGUCAAUUAAAUUAACGAUUUUAGAGAUAAAACUUUUUAAAUUUUAAGUUAAUAGAGAUAAUCUUGAUGACGUCAUUGCAUGCAUGCAUGGUAGGGAGAUGGAAUUAGCCGCAGAAUGAGAAGACUUGCAUGCGGUGCCGCUCUGUAGUUAAGCCCAAAAGUAAAACCGUGAUAGCCUAAAUUUGUGGCUUACCCAAAAUCCCCCGUGCUGCUACGGGGAAUUUAUCUGUGCAGGUUCCAUUUUUGCCGUCGCCUUCCAUUCCAGGCUUACAUGGACAGUCAUAGCCUCCCAACUUGUUUUUGCAGACCCCGUGAGUGGAGCAAGGGUACAAAUCGGGGAGCUUGCACUCAUCGAUGUCUGAAAAAACGGAAUAUAAAGGUAUGAAAUUGGCGAUGUAAUUAAUAUUGAAAGAGAGCGUGUGGAUAUGGAAAUUAAAUUUGUUACCUUGGCAUCCAUUGGCGAUGUAAGGGUUGCCAUCGUAAUUGUCCCAGCACUUGCAGACAUACCCCUGGCCACUGGUCCUGUUGGCACAGUAGCUGUUGCCGCUGACGCAGGCGUAGUCUAGAGGUGUGUGCUGGCCCUUGGCCGGACAGGAACCGUUGAGGAUGGAGAAAUCGAGCACCAGUGGGACACCCCUUGGGAAUCUGUUGGGUAGCACCUCGUAGCCAUACAUGUCCGGUGUGGAGAAGUUGUACCAUGAGCUCUCUACCACCAUGCCGUAGGAGCACGGAUUGGUCUUAAACAUGGUGUUGGGUGGAUCAGAAUUGAACCACAGUGAAAAUUCGGGGACGGGAAACUCUACCGGGAAGGCGGCCAGGCAGCAGCCCCGCCCCGAGCAUGACCCGUUGGUCGCGAACUUGAGGAAGUGCUUGCCCAUGAGGUCUGAAAGGCAGGAGAGUGAGAACUCAUUUGACGACGUGUCGUCAGGCGACGACGACGCUGACCAGGUGGUGGUCGCGUUAAGCGUUGGUACCGACCACAGGUCGCUACUGAUCAUAGGAUGGACUCUCCAGCCGACGCCGAUGAGAGCAUUGCGCGUCGCCGACACGAGGAACGGACUCAUCUUCUCGCCCAGCCGCAUCUGUAGACCCUUGUAUAAGUAGACGGAACUGUAUGGGUUGCACUUAGAUGAGACCGGGGCGUAUGUGCGCGCCUCACCCUUUGCAACCGAUAUAUCCAUGAGCUCCCAAGCUUGUGUUUUAAUCCAUUUAUCACGAUGGUACCGUCCUCCUGCCUGUGUUAAUUUACGACCCAAUACAUGGAAAAAUAUAAAUUAAUAACCACCACUUACUCCAGCUAGCUAGUAGAAGUACUCCUACUACUUAGGCCCUGUUUGGAUACUCUAACUCGGUUAGAGGUUAGAGUUAGAUUCUAACUCUAGACUAACCCUGAACUAACUCUAACCAAGGAGGUGUUUGGAUGAAAGGGUUAGAUUGUCAAUAAAUGCACUUUUUCCAAUCAUUUGGCUCCUUUAUCUAGGAUUUUGUGUGAUGGAGGAAGAGAGAAAAGUAACUUUUUGUGGGCCCCACCUAACUCUAACCCAAAAAAACACCUCUUGGAUGGGUUAGAUUUUUUGGAUGGGUUAGAUGCAUCUAACCAACUCUAACCCACGCUGUUUGGAUUUUUAAAGGUUAGAUGAGUUCAAUCUAAUCAACUCUAACUCUAACCCUAGGAUCCAAACAGGGCCUUAGUAGAGUACUUACUACUCCCUCCGUAAAGAAAUAUAACAACAUUUAGAUAAUUAAAGUAGUGAUCUAAACGUUUUUAUACUACUGUAUUUCUUUACACAGAGAGAGUACUAUAUUAAUAAUAUCAAGGUAUAUAUAGCUGUGCCUACCUCCAACCUGUCGUGAAUCUCCACUAUCCGCUGGAAUACUCCGCUAUAGGCUAGGUAGGCACGAGGUGGAUUGAAGGAGUCGUUGCAUGUCACCUGGAAGCCCUCACGAAAGCAGCCAGGCUUCAUGCCGAAAGGGUGGGGAAUGCUUAGGUUGCCGCACUUGUCGGGACAAUCCACAAGUGUGAUGGGUUGCUGCUCAUCUUGCUCAGCAGCAGCAGCCUCCAGGAUCAAGUGAGGAGUAGCCGCUGAAAGGAGGAGGACAAGGAGUAGGAUUUUUGGCAGCCGCUGGGAAUGGGAUUGCCAAGGUGUGGUCAUGCUGGUGUGUGUAUGUUCUGCGCUCUCUUGCAAGCUUACUCAGUCGCCUAGCAUCAUUCUUUGCUAGCAUUAGUAGUACUUACCUACCUUCAUCUUCUUUAUCUUUUGACUAUAUAAGACAGACACUUGUUUAUUUCAAGUGGCAGUUGCACACACUACAAAAGAAUUCCCACUUAACUAGAAAAGAAAAAAAAAGGUGACACCUUUCGUAAAAGAAAAGGCUGCAACAUGUACCAUUCCUAGCGAAUCGCCACCUUUUCUAAAAAGACUCAAACUCUCUGCUUUAGAAAUAUACUAUCUUGGUACGAUUUGAUUCUGUCCGCCACCAUCUGAUUGAGGAACACAUGCAUGUGAUCGAUUGAGGAUAAUUGUUGUUUAUUUGCUAGCUUGCUCCACGCAUUUAUGCUAAGUGCUAACUAGUCAAGCAGCAAUGAUUCGGCUGUGACUCGCUCCAAUAAGAUAAGAAAUGUUGCACUGCCUUCGUUUUUUUUUUUCUAAUAGGCAGGCCAUGAUCAAGGGCAGGCCUGCGCAGUGAUGAAGUACUCUCCACUUGUGUCAAGAGGUUCUGGAUUCGAACCAGCCUCUCUGCAUUGCAUUAUAGCAGGGGUAAGACUAGGUUUUUAUAAUCCCUUCUUAGACCCCACCUUGUAUGGGAGUUUCUAUGCACUGGGUCUGUCCUUUUAGGCGGGUCAUGAUCAUAUUCUUGGAAAAGAAGGAUCACUCAAGAGGUUCUGGAUUCGAACCAAUCUCUCUGCUUCAUAACGAUGCAUGCAGCCAAUUAAUUAAACAAAGGUCCAACAAAGGUUCAAGAUUCAGCCAUAAAUUACGAAAAUAACUAACGUUGCGUUUGGAUGUCUGUAUUGAGGCUCUAAAUCAGAUUUCGUAUUCCCGAACUCUCAAUUCGGCUGUUUGGUAUGCGCACGGAAACACCCAUCGGAAAUCGGACGAAUAUUAUCUUGAAAUCGGCCGCACGCGCCAAGUGCUCCCAUGUCUCCGAGGGCUACCCCUCUGAUUUGGCUAGAAACACCCGUCCCAGCAAAAGAAAACGAUUGGAUCCAUCUUUUUCCUCCGCUCAUCUGCUCGACUACGGACAACCGCGCGAGCACGACCUAGAAAAGAGAUGUCGGCGCUCAGUGAAUCCCACAGACAGCGGUGCCCAGGUACCUCUCCGCAUUGGCCUUCCUCCUGCUCCUACACCGGCUAAUGCAACCCCACCACCGUAGCCGCUCCACAUCCUCUGUCGCCCAUCUCCUCCAUGGCCGCCCUGGCCUGGACCUAGCCACCCACCCCGCUCCUCCUCCUCCUCUAUGGCCACCUUGGCCUGGACCUAGCCGCCCNNNNNNNNNNNNNNNNNNNNNNNNNNNNNNNNNNNNNNNNNNNNNNNNNNNNNNNNNNNNNNNNNNNNNNNNNNNNNNNNNNNNNNNNNNNNNNNNNNNNNNNNNNNNNNNNNNNNNNNNNNNNNNNNNNNNNNNNNNNNNNNNNNNNNNNNNNNNNNNNNNNNNNNNNNNNNNNNNNNNNNNNNNNNNNNNNNNNNNNNNNNNNNNNNNNNNNNNNNNNNNNNNNNNNNNNNNNNNNCGCCCCGCUCCUCCUCUCAUGGCCGCCUCAGGAAGAUACCAAAGAGCAGAGGCUGAGUUGCUUCAGAAGGAUUUUUCUUCAGUUUUUGUUUGUCUGUUCUAGAAGACUGGGUACUAUUCAGUUUAGCACAGAUUGUACAAAUUUUGAUUUGAUACAUACAAAAAGCACUAUGCAAAUCCAUAGUUUGACAUCCAAACAUGAUUUGGUAUUGAAAUCUCACUGAAAUUCCAUGGGUCAAUUCAUGAGCAUCCAAUCAAUCGAAUUUGUAUUUAUGUCCAUUACAGUUUCCUUGUCGAAUUGGUAUUGAAAGCAAUUCAAUACAGAGGCAUCCAAUACAAACAUCCAAACACAGCGUAAGUGAAACAAAGAAAAUUACAUGCCACAUCUGGCUAUAUCAUAACAGGCUACGAUGGCUAUACACCUACCUAUUAAAUUGCCGACAUUUAUAUUGGUUGAAUAUAACCCGUGCCGCUAUCUUCCAUCGGUUGCAUCCAGUAACCAAAAGCUCCCUGGACUCCGCAGGCGUGAGUAAUGAAGAUAUCCUGCAAGAAAGUUGUGAAGUAUUUCCUGUUAAAAAUCAUGUCAUUCCUGCAGUUCCAUAUAGCCCAUAACAUUGCACAUAUUCCUAUCCAUAUGUGCUUAGUUGUGUUAAUGUCAACCCCAUUAAGCCACGUCCCAAAUAACGUGUUCAUACUUUGUGGAGGAUUUAUAUUGAAGGCUAUAUGAAUGAUACGUCAUAAUAAUCUAGCCAACGGACAUUCGAGAAAGAGGUGUUUGAUAGUUAAAUUAUGAUCACAAAAGAAACAUCUAAAAUUACACAUCCAUCUUCGUUUAGUCAAAUUAUCUUUCGUCAGUAUCACUCCUUUAUGAACAAACCACAUAAAAACAUAAUCUUAAGUGGUACAUUUAUAUACCAAAUGCGUGCAGACGUAGGUAGUAAUCCAACAUUAAUAAUAUGCAGAUACAUUGAUUUGAUGGAAAAACUACCGCUUGUAGUUAAUUUCCACCAAAUUUUGUCUCGUUGGUCCAAAAGUUGAACGUCCAUCAACCUUCUUACCAAAUGAAGCCACACAUUCCAUCCCUCUCUUACCUGAGAACUUCUAAAUUGAAUAUUGAGAGGGAUUGUCUAAAUUUCAUGUAGGACGACCACACCUUCUAGGAUGUGUCUACCAGGCAUGAUUGUUGUUUGAGUCUGUUGUACAAUCGAAUGAGCUACCUGUGUCAGCCUGCUCACUGCAACUUUAGUGAAAAUUUUGAAACUCACAUUAAGCAAACAAAUCGGCCUGAAUUGCUCAAUGCGUACAGCCCCUUCCUUCUUUGGCAACAACGUGAUUGUACCAAAGUUUAAGUGAAAUAACUGAAGUUGUCCAUUAAAUAAGUCAUGAAACAUGGGCAUAAGAUCAUUCUUGAUAAUAUGCCAACAUCUCUUAUAAAACUCCGUUGGAAACCAAUCUGGUCUUGAAGCUUUGUUAUGCUUCAUUUGCAUUAUUGCUUCAAACAUCUCUUUCUCGGUAAACGGAGUUGAUAACACCUCGUUCUCUUCAUCAUAAAGUUGUGGGAUGUGCUCAUUUGCAGCACUCAGCCGUCGUCCUCGUCGGAGAAGAGCUCAACGUAGAUGCGCUCCUGCAUAGUGGCUUCAUGGUGCCACUCCUCCACCUUGGGGCCGAAGGCGAGGGCCGACGCGACACCAUGCUCGUAGAGCACGGUGUCGAUCUCCCCGUCCCUUCGGCAGCGCUGCUGGUCCACUUCCGCCUCCCACACACUCCGCACCAGCAGUGCGGGCAAAAGGCUAUCUGCCUCCGCCGGUGGGAGAAAGUCUUCCGGUCCGACGAUGCCUCUGGCACGUCGCUUCGGCACCGCCUCGGCCUCUGGCUCCAUCUUCACCGGCAGGAGCUCCUCUAGCUCCCUCUUCACCCUGGGAGGGAGGAGCACGAGCUUGAUGGAGUUCACGGAGAAGAGGCGGCCGCACGCGCGGUCGUACUCCUCUGUCUCGCGACGAAGAGUGUCGGCGGCGGCGUCUUGCCCCAUUGCGUGUUCCGGCAGGCGGCGAGCUUCCGGGCGGCAUCGGAUCUGACGCGAUGAGCCCUCUCGGGGUUGUUGUUUCUACGGCCGCCGGAGUUGGUCAUCAAGGACAGUGGGAUGGAGCGCUAGGCGACGGAACCGAGGCGCGCGACGGCGGAUCUGAGGCCCCGAUGGUGAGGUGGGGGGACUUUCUGCGGCGGUGGAGAGAUAGGGUUUCGACCCGGAUCGAGCGGCCGAACCCGCAGAUAUAGCGGUCGAGCGUUCGCGUUUACGGGCCGGGCCACAAAAAUGGCAAAAACCCGGGGUCUGCUAGGGAGGCUGUAAUAGGAAGUGGGUAGUGCAACGCCAUUAGAAUAGCUGAACUGGGGUGGUGUUUCUUUGUCGAAGGACUAGACUAAAAAGUUCAUUUUAGUCCCUAGGUAAAGAAACAGGAGGGACUUUUUUUUAAGGGACUACAAAAAGACUCUAUUGAAGGGACUUUUUUCUUUAGUCCCUGGGACUAAAAAAAGUCUAGUUCCUGAGAAAGAAACACCACCUGAAUUGUUUGGUUUGCACGUAGGGGGUGGAGGAGGCAUCCAAUGGAGCUGGGCUAGGAUAUCUGUUUUUCUUCCUCUGAUAGCAAAACUAGGUAAAUAGGAGCACAUUGCAUACGGACAUAUAGUAUUACAGUUAAUCUGAGGCAUUGUAUCAAGGGUGGGUGCAGGACAUUGAGCUAUUAAGUAUUUUAGUUAUCAAAAAAAGUGAGUGUAAAUAUGAGAUGAGACAAGUAGAUCUAAUCGAUAAUAAGAAGUUGUCGAUGGAAUGAUGCUACAAGUAUAUAGCUCUGCCCUGUUGCUGGAGAUAUUGUUCCUGUGUGUGAUGCCAUUGACGCCGGGUGUGUGCGCCUGCAAAGCUAGCACGGCAUGGCAGUGUUCAUGGCAAUUGUGUGCGUGCAUCACCAGUAAUGCAGAGGCUGUUCACUACCACGAUGAGAGAUUCCGAGAUUGCCCAAGUUCAGCGGACACGGUUCCUUUAGCGGACGUUCUCUGCCAUCGACAUAUGGGGACCAGCUCCAUUUGUCACUCCUGUACGGCGGAAGACAGCCGAAGACAUGCUCUCGUCGAUUGCAUUUCGGCUAGAUGCGUAUGGUCUUUAUCAUCUGAAGAUAUGGUGGAAACAAUGCAUGCCAACCUGAAUCUUGACGCCAGGAGCUCGAUCUUCACUAUGUAGGAUCUUCUAUCGACGCAAAUGUUCAACCGAAUGGUGGUUACUCUCUAGGCUAUUUAGAGAUCAAGACGGAGAGCAAUUCAUGAAGAAAUAUUUGAUAGUCCGCUAAAGAUCCACCGCUUCAUCGAGACUUUUAUGCGACACAUUGAAUUAUCUACAAAACAUACACUUCACAGCCCUUUGUCGAGGGUUCUCAGAAGCAAUGGAUGGAUUCCACCGCCUCCGGGCUUCGCCAAGCUGAAUGGAGAUGCUGCAUCUGCUGACGGUUGCGGUGCGAUUGAUGUGGUGUGCAGAGAUGAUGAGGGGGCUUUCUUGGAGGCUUCGGCAAUAUCUUUACAGCACAUGUAUGAUACGGCCACCUUGGAAGUACCGACGGCGAGAGAAGCUUUGGCUCUUGCAGAGGACGUCUAUGUGCAGAGAUUUUAGUGGCAUCGGACUGCAAGACCGCGGUGGAUGAAAUCAAGCAUAGAACGAGAGGAAAGAGUGCAGCCAUCAUUGCAGAAAUCAUUGAGCGUUCUACUUUUUUUUCUGCUUGUAAUUUCACUCAUGAACUUAAGCGCUCGAAUGUCGAGGUUCACACACUCGCUAAGCUUGCUUUGUCUCUUAGGUUUUGUCGUCAUAGUUUCGUUAGGCCAGCCCGGAGAAUUAGUUUUCAUUCCUGUAAAGAUUAAUCCAGUUUAAUAAAGCCUGGCGAGUUUUAUCUAUAAAAUAUAUAGUAGUUUGGUUACGUACGUGAUGGUAAUUAAGGUCAUCAAUUAAACCUAGCUAGAGCUCCCGUGAGGCCGUGACCAGAUCGAUCGGAACUCAACCUAAUUAAGGUCAUCCAUUAAUCGAUUGUCGGCGCAAAUAGGAAUAGGUGUAGAAGUUAAUCAUGUUGUUCCGGUAAGAUUAGAAAAGAAAGCCGAACUUAGUCCUAGUAGUAUUAGGAUACCUAGUUCUAGUCUAUUUCCAUAGUCCCUUGUGGACGUGUAUAAAAUGCACCCUAGGGAUGUUGAUUAUACCAUCAGAAAAACGAAAAUCAAUACAAAGCACAGGACCGACAGACCCUGUUUACCAUAACUCGACGUGUUCUCGUGUUAGUGUUCCGGCGAGAUUGAGCAAAGACGUAUAGCUAGCUAGACUAGUUUUACGCAAGAGAAAAUCUAUCAAGCAGCUUGGGUGCUUGCUUGCUAUAUAGCUAGCUUGCAUGUACGUGUAAGGGAUAUUUGAUCUACGGUUCAAAAGUCAACAAUUGGUAUCUAGAGCCUCGACGAUCUAUGAUCUACGAUGACGGACAGCGACGCUGAGUCGGUCAAGUCCGGCAAAGGCGGUCCUAAGGCGAACAAGAAUGGCGACAAGGUGAAGAAGGGCGGCAAGUCAGCAACCAGCGGUGGGGGAACGGGCGGCGCCAACGUCCAGGCGCAUCGCAACAUCCCCAUGCAGUACCCGAUGCUCACCGACGUCAACUACGGUGUGUGGGCGGUGAAGAUGAAGAUCAUUCUCCGAUCCCUUCGAGUGUGGUAGGCAAUCACGGAUGAUGACGUCGAUGACGAGUCCGACGUAGGUGCCAUGACCGCCAUAGCCCAGUCCAUGCCGGAUUCCGUGCUGAUGACAUUGACGGAGUUCGAGACGGCAAGAGAGACGUGGAACACACUCAAGGAGAUGAGGAUCGGAGAAGAUCGUGUCACCAAGGCUCGGGCACAAGUGCUGAAGCGCCAAUUUCACAAGUUGCAGAUGGAGGAAACUGAAUCUGUGAACAACUAUGCCAUGCGUCUUACUACUUUGGUGGGAGAGAUCCGCCCGCUUGGUGCAAAGCUCGAUGAGACCGAGAUUGUGGAGAAAUUUUUCAGUUCGGUGACUGAUAAAUUCACGUACAUCAUCGGCACGCUCGAGCAGCUUUACGACAUCGACGACAUGACCAUAACGGAGGCGACCGGACGCUUGCGGACAUGGGUAGAGAAUGCUCGUGGCUGUCGGAAAGGCAAAGGAGGAGGUAGUGACCAACUCAUGUACUCGUGCAGAUUGGGAGGCCCCAAGUAGCAAAGGAAGGCGUGACGGGGGUGAAGGCUCAAGCAACACAAAAGGCGAUGGACAAACCGGAAAAGGCAAACCACAAGGUCGUGGUAAGGCGGGCCAAUCUAAAGAGCAGAAGCCCCAGAACUUGGACUUGUCCGAGGUCAAGUGCUAUAACUGCAAUAAGAUGGGUCACUUUGCGAAGGAUUGUCCGAAGCCUAACAAGCGGGAGAUCAAGGCAAAUUUGGCAAAGCAGGAAGGCAAAGGUCCAGGUCUUCUGAUGGUCGAAGUUUGUGAUCUCGCUGAAACGGUGGUUGUGAAACCAAGCCGGAAGAUGCUACUUCAUGAGAAGAAAGUGACACCGAAGUUAUCCGGGGAUCAGAACGUGUCGUGGUAUCUCGACACAGGUGCCAGUAACCACAUGACGGGGUGCAAGGAGAAAUUCCUCGAGCUGGAAUACGAUGUUGAAGGCUCGGUCAAGUUCGGUGAUGGUUCAGUUGUGGAGAUUUGCGGGCAAGGAUCUGUCCUCUUCGAGGGUUUCACAGGCGAACAUCGCAUACUCACCGGAGUGUACUACAUCCCACGGCAUCGCAACAACAUCAUCUCUAUUGGGAAGCUUGACGAGAAUGGAUGCAAGAUGAAUAUCAAGAACGGAGUGAUAACGAUCUUCGACAACCAAGUGUACGUAGUCUAGCGUGGUGCUAUAUGGAAGAUCAGAUCGUUUGUGGUUGCUCGUGCUCCGGGUGGCAUGUGGGUUCUCCCUCCGGAUUUCUAGCCAACCGAGUGUACGUAGUCUAGCGUGGCUACUUUGGCUUAGUAUAUAUUGAAGUCAACCUUUACCAUAAAUUGAACCAUACGUGUUAUAGAGAUGAGUUGUAGUAUAUACAAAAUCGUAGUUUAUGUAGAGGCAUACGUGCCUUGUUAAAAUAGGCAUUAUCAAUCGAUAGGAUGGUUGAAAUAUUGUGUUGUGACACAUAUAUACAAAAAUUAUGGAUCAUUCAUUCUUUCCUUACUUUUCUCGCAUAAUGAUUUUGGCUAUGUAUCUCGACAAUACAUUUUGACUUUCUAUGCUAAGAUCAGUUUUGGACUCAUGGUAAUAACUUGUAUCCUGCAAUGACACGUUCCCUACCACAUAUAGAGAUUCAUAUUGGAUCCUUGUAUAACUCAAACAAGCACGUACAGCAUAUACAAACAUCUAUUGGCUUAGAAAAGAAAAUAUAAUUUUAUUAGGUCAAUCAAUCACACAUUGAGCUGUUGAGGUGGUUUUGAAAGAAAACGCUGGGGAAAAUCAGCAAACCAGAAACAGGGGUGGAGUAAGGGAGGACGAAAGAAAGGACUUAAUGUGAAAUUUUACGUGCUUCAAAUGAUGCGUCGAAGAAAAAUGCUGUCUAGAUUAAGCACACACAGAUGCUUACAGCUCACCUCGCACGGGGAUGGAGCUGACUGUCGAUCAGAUCAUGUAAGUGAAAGGCGGUGGCGAGCAAACUAGUGAAGAAAUGCCUUCAGGGGUUGUGCUGCUGCUUCAAGCUUAUGAGGGUUCGGUCAUGCCUGACGCUUGCCGUUCUCGGGCAAUGGAUGUAAGGACUUCUAUUUGCCGUUCUCGGGCAAUGGAUGUAAGGACUUUUAUUUGUAUUGACUGAGGGUUUACAGCGUCAUCUGACAGAAAAUACAGGCACUUGAUCGUUAGCUCAACAAUUUGCCAUGGAAAAAAUAGUUAGACCUUUGUGUUGAUGCAUGCUUAAAUUGCAGUGGUUCAUGAUGAGUGUCUCUGUAAGAACUGCCAUCCAAAGAUGUUGGGUGUUCUGAUGCAUUGCUGCUAUAUUGCUAGUACACGGUAGCACUACAAAGCAUGCAAAAUGUUAUCCAUCAGUGAAGAGAAUUCCGCAGUUAAUAUGCAGCAAGUAUUCAAGCUGUCCAUAUAUAUAGUUUAGUAUUCCAUAUGUUUUGGUACAUGAAUGGCAUUCAUUCAUGUGUCGGAAAUCCUAAAGAUCAAGCUGUUGGAGAUCAGUCUGUCCUCCUAGGUUUGGUGUUCAUACAGUAGAGUUAAAAUAAAGAGACUCCACCAUGUUUUGGCCUUCUAAGCUGUAGGGUAUUGAUAAUGUAAAAACUAAAUAAAUACACUUUGUAUACGAUCAUCACAAUUACAUAUUACAAGGAAAAUGGCAAAUCGAUCUUAAUGCCUGUGAAAUCAUUUAUAUUCAUAACAUCCAAAGCAUAUCUCUGAGACUACUGUACAGACAUCUAACACAAUACCUAUAGGGUAAUCACAAGUGUGUAUUUUCUUUUCACAAGAAAAACAAUAAUCCAUCGUCGUGUACUAGUUUAUGUGAAUUCACUUAUUUCAUUAUUGCAGGGAGAUCAUUUCAUACCUUUUGUACUAAUCGUAUCUUGCUGAGACUGUAACAUGGACGGACAGCGACUACUUGACAAGGCCUAGGCUGAGGAUGCCGAAGGAGGUAUGAGGCCAGUCCUUCUCCUUGGCCUUAGUCAGCAUGGCUCUGCCCCAGGACACCCAGCCCUCCCAUGGCAUCCUCUUGUCCCAGCUGCUCCCCCACUCCAGCAGCAGCUUCAGACCUUCCUCCGCCUGCUCCUGCGCCUCCUCGUACAUCUCCGCGUUCAGGCACAUCUGCGCGAGCACCAGCCGUGGCUCCCCCACAAACGGGUUCUUGGUGACGCUCUGCCGGAGCAGCUCCUCCACUUUGGACCGGUCCGUUGCCUCAUCGUCGCUGCACACCGCCUCCCAGUAGAGGUCUCGCGCAGCCUUCUGGUCAUCAGCAUCCAGCACCUUGGUGCAGCCAUCGAACACUGGAGGGAUCACCAGGGCGAUGUCCUCGUCGCGUGUAGAAGAGUCAUUGCCUUCCUUGCCGGUGGUGUGAGCUCGUUGAGCUAAGUAUAUCUCCUCCUCGCGAACAAUGAGGUUGUAGAGCACACCCAUGCGGGAGAUGGACGUGGUCCAAAGGCCGGGCUUGCCUGUGCCAGGCCACAGUGACGUCCAGGUGUUGCCUCAGAACUCGAGGCGGCCGUUGGUGUUGUCGAAGAGGCGGUCCUGCCAGUCAAAGAGCUGGUCACUGAAGUCUGCCAUUGUCAUCAUAAGGAAUGUCGCCGCUAUCCGCCUAGAGAGAGCCACAUCUUCACCAGUCCUGCAGGGUAAUAAGGAUACACAUCAGGUGCACAGCAAAUGCAGAGCAUCUUUUCUGAAUUCCAAAUUCUCAUUCAGUUCGGAUAAGGUGCAGCUACUAGUUUGCUUAGCAAUUUCCCUUUUGCUUCCCUCAGCUGCCUAGUCUGGCAAGCUCAGAAUUCGUUUUUGUGUGUGCAUUGUGGUGACUAGUAGUGAACCAUGAAUCCAUUGCAGACUGAAAUUUUUUCGACAGCAUAUGUUUUCAGCAGAAAUAACAACACAUACUUGCAGGUUAACAUAUCUUGGCAAGAUCCCACAAAAUAUGAUCUAAAUUACCUUUGCAAGAUUGUAAGACUGUUCCAAGUUUUUCUCUCACGGCAACAUGAGUGAGGUUUUUAACUGUACAUUGUGCCUGAAACAAAGUUGCAUGAUGCAAAAUUUUCCCACAAUCAUUUGACAGAUUUGGCCUAUUUGUAGGUUAGAGGGUAGUUCCUGAAUUCUUGUCAGAUACUGUGUGAACACCUAUUCAGAAUUUUGGUCCUUGAUUUUUAACCCUACUGAUAAGCUUGGUGAACUCUGUAAUCUGUCAGUAUUUCCAAACACUGCACAGCAGUGUUUAAUACUCCUUAUAUUCAUGAAUACUUAAUCCUCAGUUCUUAAGCUAUCAUCUUCAUCUUGAUACAUCUGUCAGUAGUAGUAUAUAAGUAUUUUCCAAGAAACACUAGACAACAGUAUAUCUAAUUCAGUUAUAUGAACAUGAGCACUGAUUUCCUUCAGGCAAGCAACAGAACCGAUGGUGUCGUCCAAAAUCAUAGACACACGCAGACCUGAUGUGCUUGACUGUGAUUCCGUCGGCGGGGAGGAGGCGCUGGAUCUUGCGUCGCCAGGGCUCGUCGUCGUCGAACACCCCGCGGCGCGCGUCCAGGACGGACUCCUCCGACCGGGCGAGGUCGGCGGCGAGGUCGGCGUCGUCGUAGUGGAAGAGCAGGUCAUCGUGGACGAGCUGCUGGCGCGGGACGACGCAGAAGAGGUGGACGAGCCGCUCGGCCUCGUCCCCGACGACGGCGGCGACGCGGGCGCGGCCGACGUCGGGCUCGAAGAUGGCGAGGUUGACGUACGAGUUGGAGUAUGCGGAGUGGUAGAGGCCGCAGCGCGCGACGGCGUCGGGGGAAGCCCAGAGGCGCAGGAUCCGGUAGACCUCGAGCAGGUGGGCGAGGAAGGUGCCGUGCUUGUGCCAGCACUCGCCGGCGCCCG